ACGGCUAGGUUGUGGUCUAUGCCAGCGGGAAAAGAAGUCAAGGUGUACCAAGGUCAUCACAAAGCCACCGUGUGUUGUGCCCUCCAUGAUUAAAAACAUGAAUUAAUAGUCAAACAAAACUAAAUAAAGAACAGAUAAUCAUUUCUCUCUUUUGUGUGUUUAGGAAACUCUUGUACAUUUGUAUCAGAUUCAUCUCAAGUUUUAAACCUUUAAUUGUUAGAGCAUCUGCAUCAAUAAACCUUCAGAGGGAUAACUUUAAUUUUUUUUUCGUAUGAAUUUUUAUUAAAAAAAAAUAGAAAAAAAAAUAAGCAGACCAAUCUGUAAGAAGUGAAUUUAUAAAAAUGAAAAUAUUAUAAUAUUAUUUUUUUAAGAAUGAUGUGAACCUAGACAUUGAUUCCUCAAUGCAGAUGCUCUUAGUUUUUACUCUGACCUCUCUGUCAUCAAACAACUCAGAAAUAUAAUGACAAAAACUAGGGAUUAACCCGGGCUACGCCCGGGAUUUUUUAUUUUUUUUCUAAUUUAAGUUGUUAAAUUAUUUAUAUUUAGGUUAUGAUAUAUAUUUAUAUAAAUGUUAAGAUGCAUGUCAUAAUUAAAAUUUAUUUUUAAAUUUUAGCACGUUAAAUUAACAUAUUUUUACUAUUUAAAUAUUUUUUUAUAAUUGUGUUGGCUAUCUAGUUAUCAUAUUUAGCAAAACUAUAUGUUGAGUGUUGGAAUAAAUGUUUUAGAUAUUUAAUUAAAUUGCAGAGUAUUUUCGGAUCGACCACAUGCUCAACAAUCGAUCCAUCCGUAAAAAGAUGGUCGAUCUCCUUGGCCAUGUAAGUACAAUUUUAGCAAAAAUAUCUUGGAUUUUCAAAUAUUAAGUAUAUAACUAUUCUUUUGAAUAUUGUUUUUUUGAAUUGUAUUAUUUGAUUAAAUUAUUGUAUUAUAAUGUUUAUGUAAAUAUUUUUUGUGAUGUUUGAAUUUGUGUUGUUCGUAUACUUAACCUAGAUGAUAUUGAUGUUUAACAAUUUAUUGUUUUCUGGAAAUAGAAAAUAAUGAUAUAUCAAAAUGUAUUUAAUACUUGUUAAAUGAUAGUAUAAUGUAAAUUACAUCCAUUAUUUGAAAAUAACCAUUUGUUGUUUUUAUUUGUUUUUAAAUCAGAAAUUAUUUUUAUUUAAAAAACAUUAUUCAUAUAUAAUAUAAUAGUUUAAGUUUGGAAAAUUAAUCUAUAUAUAUAAAUUAUGUAUAUUUAAAAAAUAAUAAUUUAAGAUAUUAUAUAUUGAGUAACUGAAUAAAAGCUGAAUUUCUUAUCUUGAAAAUCAAAUAUUUAUAUUUUUGUCUUCAUGUUAUACUCACCAAUCCAUCAUUGAUAUUUAUAACUCAGUAUGUUUUUAAAAAAACUUAGUUUUAAGUAAUAAACGAAUUUAAUAAAUUAAAUUCAUCACCUAUAAUGUUCUGUAAACUAUAUUUGAAAACUCUCUUAAAUUAUAUUUUAAGCAUAAUAUUACUAUUAUUUAAUUUAAGUUAUUUUAAGCAUAAUAUAUGCUAAACCAACUUAAAUUAUAUUUACAAUAGGACUAUUCUAAACCGAUUAAUAAACCAAAAGCAAUACUAAACUAAUAUGAACCAAUACCUGAUUCGGCGAGGAAGGAAGUGUUUCAGGAUAAACGCUUGAAUGGUGAUUAACUGUAAUGGUUUGAUCAUGAAAGAGUUAGUAUGAAUAUUAACAAUAAAAUUAUGGAUUAGAUUAAUUUAAAUUUGUAAGAAUACCUUUGAGUCUAUGAAAAGCAAUUCAAUUCCCAUGAAUAAGUUUGGCUUUUGGAAGUUGCAGGUUUCUCAACAAUGAAUCCACCUAACAAAAAGUUCGUUGUUAUAAAAAAUCUCCUUCAAGGUCAUUAAAGGUUUCUGGGACAGCAAGAGUUGAUGGUGGAACCAUUUUUUUGCUCGAGUGCUUUGAAGUUUUCCUUGAUAGUGUGAGGUUGAUGUUGAUGGAAUAAUGAGUUUUAUAGGGAUUUUCUUGAUGCAAAACUAUACAUUUUUUUUGUUUAAUGUGGUAUUUCUAUUUUUAUAUAAUUUAUUACCAUUUUAAGAUAGAUGUACAUUUUAAGAUAGAUGUUUAAAUCUUAAUGUACUUUUUCCAUUUUUUAAAAUGUUUAUUUCCAUUUAUUAUAUUUUUUAACGUAAUAUCUAUAUUUUAUAUUUUAAAAUAGAUAUUUAAAUCUUAAUGUAUUUUUCCAUUUUUUUAUUGUGUAUUUACUUAUAUUAUAUAUUUUACAAUUUAAGAUAACUUUUUUAUAAAAACAAUUUAGAAUUUUUUUUUUCAAAUUUCUUUUUGAAAAAAGAAAAUUAUGCUUGAAACUAUUUUUUAAAAAUUUUUAUAUAUUUUUUAAGUAUUUAUAUAUUUAUAAGAAAUAUAAAUUUCACAUUCCAAAAACCCUACCCCACCCCUCAACUCUAAACCCUAAGUCUAGAUUAGUUACCCUAAGGGUAUAAUUGUAUUUUACUCUUCAUUAAAAGUGAGGGUAAAAGUGGUUAGUAUAAACAUGAAAAGUGGUACUAUGAAUGUGGUAUUUGUGGCAAUUUCCCAAUGAACUUUUUCCAUUUUUUUAAAAAAAUUGUGUAUUUACUUAUUAUUAUAUAUAUAAUUCAUAUAUUAUAUAUUUACAUUAUUUACUUAUUAUUUAUUUUCCUGUAUAUGUAUUUCCAUUUCUUGUACUUUUUAUUUACUUAAUAUCUCUAUUUUACAUUUUAAGAUAGAUGUUUAAAUCUUAAUGUAUAUUUUCUAUUUUUUUAAAUUGUAUAUUUCCAUUUGUUAUACUUUUUAUUUACGUAAUAUCUAUAUUUUAAAUUUUAAGAUAUAUUUUUAAAUCUUAUUGUAAUUUUUCAUUUUUUAAAUUGGGUAUUUACUUAUAUUAUAUAUUUACUUAUUAUUUAUUUUUAUUUAUAUUGUGUAUUUGCAUUUCUUAUACUUUCUAUUUACUAAUAAUUUUAUAUUUUAAGAUAGAUUUAUAUUUUAAGAUAGAUAUUUAAAUACUAAUGUACUUUUUCAUUUUUUUUUAAAUUGUGUAUUUCCUUUUCUUAUACUUUCUAUUUUCGUAAUAUCUAUAUUUUACAUUUUAAGAUUGAUGUUUAAAUCUUAAUUUACUUUUUCCAUUGUUUUUAAGUUGUUUAUUUAUUUUUCUUAUACUUUCUAUUUACUUAAUAUCUAUAUUUUACAUUUUAAGAUAGAUGUUUAAUAUUUAAUGUACUCUUUCCAUUUUUUUUUUAAAUUGUGCAUUUACUUAUUAUUGUAUAUAUAAUUCAUAUAUUUAUAAUAUUUACUUAUUAUUUAUUUUUUCUAUAUAUUGAGUAUUUUUCUUUCUUAUACUUUAUAUUUAGUUAAUAUCUAUAUUUAUAUUUUAAGAUAGAUGUUUAAAUCUUAAUGUAUUUUUCUAUUUUUAGUGUAAAACGACAAUGUUUAAUAGAAAAACUUGGACAAAUAGUUAAAUAGUUAUAUUUAUGUUUCUUUUUUCUUUUUUUAUAAAAUGGUAAUGUUACAUUAUGGAUAUAAGCCGUUUUCUUUAGUGAAAAAUGGUAAUCUUACAUAUGUUUAAUAUAGUUUUUCCAUUUUUUUUUUAUNNNNNNNNNNNNNNNNNNNNNNNNNNNNNNNNNNNNNNNNNNNNNNNNNNNNNNNNNNNNNNNNNNNNNNNNNNNNNNNNNNNNNNNNNNNNNNNNNNNNAAAAUUUAAUUAAAUUUAAAAAUCUUACCGCAAACAUUUUAAACCAAGUGAUCUUAACGUGAUUUGGAGUCUUGCUCCAGUUCGGAUAUGCCCCGUCGUAGUAACCCUUAAUCGUUUUCGAAACGCUCCGGCCAACACGGUUGUUAGCCCCAAACCUGAAAGGAAAACAAUUUAACCGUUUAAAAAUAAAAAUAAUUUAAAUUUUAAUGUAAUAAAAAUUAAUAACUUACCAAUAAGUUCCUCGGGGUCUAUCGGGGUCUAGAACAUCCAAACCCUCCCGUCCAGGCUGGGCAAGCAAAUCCUCUACCGUAUAUCUCGCGAAUGGGGCAUAUGAAGGCACACGCAAAUCCGGAUGAACUGCACCUUCUGGGACAGGCUCAGGUGCAGCCGCUGGAGGAGGAGGUGGAGGCAUAUGCGGUGGAGGCAUUUGCGGUGGAGGCAUCUGCGGUGGAGGAGGACUCCAAGCAACUCUCUGAGAAGGCUGAGAGUCUGGAACUGCGAGGGAGGAUGAUGGACCGGAAGACGAUGGACAGGAAGAAGAUGUACCGGAACCAUCGUCGCCAAACAAAUCUCUAUAGCUAGGUGCUCUGGAUUUUCUUCUAGGAGCCAUCUAAAAAAACUAAAAUAAAUUUAAUCAAUUACGACAUAAUAAAAAUAUUAUUCUGUUACCUAACUAAUCACCUAAACUAAUUACUUAACUAAUCACCUAAACUAAUUCCGUUACCUAACUAAUCACCUAAACUAAUUUAAAAAAAAAAAAAAAAAAAGAGAGAAGAGAGAGUUUACCUUAGAGAGAGCAAAGGAAUUUGGGAGGAAUGAGCGAGGCAGCCUCGCUCUCGGCGUCCCCUUAUAUAGAUUAGGAUUCGUCGUAAAAGCGACGUAAUUUUACGACGAAUUCACCAGGCCCGCGUUUUUCCAUUUACGACGAAUUUACCAGGCCCGCGUUUUUUCAUUUACGACGAAAUUACCAGGCCCGUGUUUUUCGUUUUACGACGAAAUUACCAGGCCCGCGUUUUUCCAUUUACGACGAAAUUACGACGCUUAACCCUAAACACCGAGAAUGAAAUCCCUAAACCCCAAAGUCACAUAUCAUCUAACAUCAUAUCUUAUUUCAUACUACUUCUUACUCUUUCUUUUAGAAAAUGUUACAAUAGAGAAAUCCAACAUUUGAUACAUAUAUUACAUCACUCUAAAUCGUUUUCGUUCUCAUCACUAUUACAUCACUCUAAAUCGUUUUCGUUCUCAUCACUAUCAUUACAAUCAUCAUCGUCGCUUCUCUCGAACUCGUCUUCACGUGCUUCAUCUGUCGCAUCUUCGGGAAUAUCUUCAUAUUGAAAGUUUUGCGGGUCGAUCAAAAGGAUUUCAUCAGUUGGUUGUUCUGGUACCUCAACUUCAGUGAUAGCGUCUUCUUCUUGCAAGGGCGGUUCUUCUCUAACGACAAUGCGUCCACGAGGUGUAACUUUGAUAGCAGUUACCCAGUUUAUCCCGAAAGUUCGAAGCCGAGGAUAAGGAAGGAAGCUAACUUGCUCGGCUUGUGAAGCUAAAAUGAAAGGCUCAAAUUUGUUGUAUCUUCUCCCAAAAUUGACAUCCACAACACCAAAUUUGUUAUACCGAAUCCCUCGGUUCACAACAGGAUCGAACCAUUCACAUUUGAAGAGGACGCAUUUUAGCUUCAAUAACCCCGGAAAUUCCACUUCAAUAAUCUCCUGCAAUAUCCCGUAAAAGUCUGUUUCACCUUUCACACAUAUUCCGUAGUUACUCGUUGCCCGAUGUCUCCCAUACUCGUAUGUGUGAAAGGUAAAUCCUCGUGUGAAAUACAUAGGUGAUGUGGUGACCUUUGCAACUGGACCUUGAACCAAUUCGUGAAACCAUACGGGAUAAUAAGGAUCGUCAUAAUCAACCUGCAAAAAACAUAUAUAUAUAUUUAAACACUUACUUAAUUAAUAUAAUAGUAUGAGAUAAAACAUAUAUAUAUAUAUAUAUUCUUAAACACUUACUUAAUUAAUAUAAUAGUAUGAGAUAUAUUACCUGUGAUUAAUAUGGUCAAAAAUAGAAAUUCUUGUUCCAUGCACAUAUCCGGCGGUAAAUUAUACGGCGUAAGAAUGACUGGCCACAAAGAAUAUUGUCUACCAGACAUUCCAAAUGGACUAAAUCCAUCGGUGCAUAACCCAAGAUAGUCAUUCCGAAUAUUUGUAGCAAAAUCUCCGUGUACCUUGUUGAAAUGUUUUCACGCUCUUGCGUCUGAUGGAUGUGCAACCUCACCAUCUCUCUGGACAUGUUUGGCAUGCCACCUCAUCGACGCAGCAGUCCUCUCAGAUUGAUAUAAUCUUUUCAAUCUGUCUGUAAUUGGUAGGUACCACAUCCUUUGGUACGGUACCCUAUUCCUCCCACGGCCUUGCGGUUUGAAUCGUGGUUUUUUGCAGAAUCGACACUCUUCUAACUUGUCAUCUUCCUUCCAGUAGAUCAUGCAGUUGUCGAUGCAAACAUCAAUCAUCUCCGAGGGUAACCCAAGACUAUAAACCAAUUUCUGAAUCUCAUAAUAAGAUUCAGCAGACACGUUGUCUUCUGGCAAAUACUCUUUAAACAACUCCGCCCAUGCAUCAAUGCAAUUCUCAGGUAAAUUAUGAUCCGUUUUAAUAUUCAUCAUCCUAGCUGCUAGAGACAAUUUAGAGAGACCUUCUCUACAACCAGUGUAGAUUGGUUGAUUUGCAGCAUCUAGCAUUUUAUAAAACCUUUUUGCAUCCAAAUUAGGUUCUUCUACAUUUCCAGUUCCAUCUGCUAUUGUUGUAGUUGUUUCUAAAAAUGCAUCACUAAUCAUAUCUUGAACCCUAUCAUGAUCUACCAUCUGCUCCUCUUGAUGAUAAUUAUGUUCAUUAUGCACAUGAUUCAGUUCUUCAUUAUGAUGAGCAUCCUCAAAAUUAGCAUUACUACUACUAGCUUCAUUUCCCCCAUAACCCUCUCCAUGUUGAUACCAAAUGUAGUGCUGUGGUGUAAAUCCUCUGUUUACUAAAUGAUUCCAUACAGUUUCACUACGUGCAAAUUUUAAAUUCUUGCAUUUUGAACAUGGGCAGAACAUCUUACCGCUUUCCUGCGUGAUCGGUGUACAGCCCGCCUGGUGCAUGAAUGUCUCUAGCCCGUUCAGAAAUGCAUUCGUCACUCUCCCGUCGGAAUCUUUGUGCAAAUACAUCCAACUUCGUAACUCGUAAAUACUACCGCCACCGACCAUUUUUUCUUCUAUUUUUUUUAAAAAAUUUUUUUUUCCGUUUGGGUCUUCUGAGGAAGAGAGUUGUGUGUUGUGAGGAAGAGAGUUGUGGGAAAUGACAUAUAUAUAGAGAAAUUUUCGAGUUGGGUAGUUGAAAUAUAACAACGAUUUUACAAGGAAACUUUUACAUGGAUUUUACAUAGUUUUUUUACAACGACUUUACAACGAACUUCGAUAAGUUUUUCACCUAAAUAUAACGGUAACAUGAUUCGUUGUAAUAUCGAUGUAAAGUUUUCUUUUCGACGUACUUACGUCGUAAUAUUACAUGGCGUUUACGACGAAAUUUGGUUUCGUUGGAUUCGUCGUAAUUGCAUUGUUAACCCACCAUUUACUAUUUCUAAGACAACGAUAAGGAACCUGUGUCGUUCGUCUGUCUGCCAAUUCAGUGGAACGACAAGGAGAAAGUGGACGGAAAUGCAGCUGGUUUGUACUUGAGAGGAACCUUUGACGAUGGUCGGAGGUUCCACUCAAGUAUAAACCAACUGCACUUCCCUCCAUUUUCUCCUUGUCGCUCCACUGAAUGGCAGACAGACGAAUGACUCAUGUUCGUUAUCGUUAUCUUCGAAAUAGUAAUUGGUGGCUGAAUGAGGAGUUGUGUGUUGUGAGGAAGAGAGUUGUGUGUUGUGAGGAAGAGAGUUGUGGGAAAUGACAUAUAUAUAGAGAAAUAUGGUAAGUUUUACAUGGAUUUUACAUAGAAAAUUUACAACGCGUUUACAACGAAUUUAGGUAAGUUAAAGCACAUUGAAUACACGUUUUCACCUUUAUAUAACGGUAACACGAUUCGUUGUAAUGUCGAUGUAACGUUUACAACUAUUUCGCAUUCCAUGUACUUUCGUCGUAAACUUACAUUGACUUUACGACGAAAACGUUUCGUCGUAAAUUACCAUGGAGUUUACGACGAAGUUAUGUCUCGUCGUAAUUGCGUUGUAAAGCGUAUGUAAAUUUACGAGGAAAUUAUUUCCUCGUAAAACGCCGUUGUUACUGCUACGUUUUCUUGUAGUGACGUGACUUGUCCACAACAUAUGUAUCCACCAGAAAACUGUCCACAAUGUUAAUAUAUACUAAAAAAAUUGAAGUAUUAUAAUAUAUAUACAUAUGGAUGUCAAAAUAAAAAUAAAAAAUAUUUUAUUUUAACGUCAAUAUUUUAUUUUAUAUAUUUACAUAUUGAAAGUAUUAAAUAAUGAUGAAUAAAAGGUGAUGGGGGAACUUUAGUCAUUAAAAAAUCACUAUCAAGCUAAUCCUAGACCGUUGGAUCUUCUUCUACGAAAACAGAUCUAACAGCCAAAAGUAAUUCACUACAUCCCAUACAACUAACUAGUCUCGUAAUAAAUAUUCAAUUUAUUGUAAACAUCCAUAAACCAAUUUCCUUAUAGUUAGCUACCUCAAACCAAGCGCUUUCUCUUUUGUCAAAAGCAAGACAAUUUUGGUCUGAAAAUAGCACACCGUACAAGAGAAAGUGUGUCAAAUAAUAUUGUGUCUUCAGACGUAAAGGAAAGAUAGAAUGUGUCUUUUAGAUGGAUCUCAAUAUAAGUAUUAUAUCAACCCCACAAAGACAUGUCUAUUUUUAGAAAGAGAAAAAAAUUUGAUUAGUUAGGAUAAAGAGAUGAGAAAGAAACAAGAGAGAGUAUUAAAAGGUAAAAAAAAGAAUACUAAAGGGUAUAAGUGACAAUAGAUAACCAAAAAGUGUGUGGCAAGUGGAUUGUGUCUCUAAGUGUAAAUAGAAAGUUAAAAUGUGUGUCUAGAUGUAAGUUUUUCUAAAGAUGGUGACACUUCUUUUCUAUUGAAACUAAAGCACAAAACAAUACUUGUCUAUUUUAAAUGAUUUUUUUACAGGUUUUCAUUCUGUUUUUUAAUUAAUUGUUACAACUUCAUUUAUUAUUUUUUUUCUAACUAAAUUGACAUCAUUUACUAAAAAAGUACACAAGAAUGUAGUUACCUAUUUUUAAUUGUUUUAUUAUAUCUUUUACAUUAAUUUUUCAUUGUUUUUAACUGCUUCAUUAAUUAUCUUUACUGGUUUAAAGUUGGGUCUUCCCAAGUUUGGAUGGAUUCAUUUUUGAUGUAUAGAAACAUAAAAAUAUCCAAACUAAUGUAUCUGAACUAGGUUUAGAUAUUUGUACUAAAACUAACUAUAUUAACCUAAAAAUAACCAAAUAACCAAAAGUAACCAUAUUACCCGAUUUGAUUCAUGUUCGAUUGUGAUGUAUAUGAACCUAAAAAUAUUCAAGUACUUAUACAAUUAAUUAUAUGAUGACACAUAGAAAAUAUAUAACACUAAUGAUUAAAAACAAAAUACUAAUUUAUAAAGAAAAAAUAGUAUCCACAUUGGUGUGCGGAUUAAUCUCUAGUUGAAAUUAAAUUCAGCGACAUACUUGCUAUUAUGUUUAUCAAAACUAUACGAACGAAGGGGACCAAAGUCUACUAAUACUAAAAGGACAAUAAGUUCAACAUCUAGUGUCCACAUCAUCUGAUGAAAUCAGCCAAUCAUAAAAAAAGCUUUUGACAUGUCAUUUCAGUUAAUGUUAUUGUUUUUUUCAACAACAAAAACUCAUAAAAUAACCAACAUAUCAGGCUCAUGAUGCUUUCUGACAGCUCAACGCUCAUCAGAGAUAUAAACAAUGACAUUUAGGUGAAGAAAAUAUGUGGUAUCAUCAACGAUAUUCAGCAGAUCGUCUCUGUUUUUGUCGAGAUAUAGCUUUCUCAUCUUUCUCGGUCGCUGACAUCGAGGCCUCUGAAUUACCGAAGCAAGCCCUUUCUCUUUCUAAUUAUGCUGUAUUGAACCCAAUUUUGGACUAAUUUGGACCGGAGGCCUUUUCUAGUUUAAACGAAAUUUCACGGAAAAAUCAGGCUUUAUCGUAUGAUAUUUUUCUAAUUUAUUCUUUUGAUAUUGUUUAGUGGUCCAGUGCAAUCUAUACUAUAUAAAAGUUGAGGCUAUAAACCAUUGAGAGCGUCCACCUAAGGUAUAAAACCACCAAUCGUAAUACUCAAACAUCUAAUAUACAUGAAUUUAGAUAGCAUUGUUUUUAUUUCCAAAUUAGUUGUAUAUAGACUAUAAAUAAUCCUCUAAAUUUAUAAUAAAGUUAUAAAACUUUUAUAAAAGUAUUUUAAAAAAUGAAAUUGUAAAUUUUGUUUCAAAGAUUUUUUUUUUGAAGAUAUAUGCUAUACAAAAUUUGAGUCUAUAAAUCACUCAAUGUGGCCUCUAAUGAUUUAAAACCACCAGUCAAAAUAUGAAAAAUCAAUAAAAAAGCUUACUAGUUUCUAAAAUAUCAUUAUUUUCAACAAAAAAAAAUCAUUCAAAAUAAAAAAAUAGUUACAUAUUAGUUAAAGUAAACUAAAAAUAAAGGAAGUAACUUGACAUAUUACUUUAACAUUUAACAUAAAACUAAUAUUAUUUUCUUAUAAGCACAAAAACUUGAAAAUCAAAGCUAUCAAUACUAUUAAAAGGGAAGGAGUUUUAAUAAAUCUACUUAAAAAGAUUGUUUGGACCCUUUCAUUAUUAAUUUAAUCUAUUAUAUACAAGCAAAUAAAUCAUAACUUAACCCUAUAUUCGUUCAAAAAAAAAACUUAAACCUAUCAGUUUUAAUAACAACCCGUAGAAUACCAUGGCGUAGCAAACCGGACUACGUUUUCAUUUAUGUCAAAAUACUACGUGUUUGUUUUGUUAGGUUUCGUUAGAUUCAAAUUUUUAUGAUUAGGGCCACAUGUUAUUAUCUAAUGGAUCAUUUCCAUUAACAAAAAUAUAUUUUCUUCAAACUUUACGAACAUAUACCACACUGAAUAGGAAAAUAUAAUAAAUGAUGGCCUUAUAUCAUAUUAAUCUCAUAGUUUUACAAUUGUAGCGUAAAUAGUUUUUGCAUAUAAGGUUCUAUGGUAUCAGACAACAUCGAAUAUUUAUAUCAAAAAUAUUAUGUUAAUCUUUUUAAAAACAACUAUGUGUUUAUGCAAAUUAUGUUUGAUUUUUUUUAAUUAUAUAUAGUUCACUUAAAAUUUAAAAUUUAAAAAUAUAAAAUUUAUACAAAUUUAAACAUAUAUUAUAGCACAUGUUAAAAUAAAUUUAUUAUGUAUAAAAUUUAUAAUUUUCAUUACAUAAAUAUAUAGGGCCUCAUUUGAAUAUCCAGAAAAUAAUCAAUUUGUGGACUGAACCUCACAUUGAGAAUUAAUUUGAACUAUUCAAUAGGUUUAAAAUACUAGGUUAAGAAAGAUUUUUUUUAAAAGUAGCAAUCCUGCCUUUUACAACUUGAUUCAAAAGUUUGAAUCUAUAUAUUAUUAAAAGAGAACUAUCUAAAAAUCUACGUGAAAAGGCUGUUACACCCAUUAUUAACUAAUUAUUAUUUUUUGUUCUACUUUAUAUUUUUCUAACUAUAUCAUAAUAAAUGUUCUUAUUUUGACCUUUUAAUGCAACUAAUCUUAAUAAAUCUGAUAUCUAAUAUCAAAGCAAAUACGGUUAGUUAUGAUUUAUGCUCGGGUUUGGUUUAAUUAAUUUCAAAAUCAAAAUAUAUCUUUACCAACACGUUCUUCUAUCUCGCCACAUUUACACACAAUGUCACAUUAUAAUAUUGAAUAAAAUAAAUCCAUAUAUGUCAUAUACCAUAUAAUAAAAACUCAUGUGUAUCGUGUAUCAUUGAUAUCCUAUGGAUCCUUAUACCCUAAACCCUUAUCCAAAGUCUAAAAGUUUAAUAAAUAUGUAAGGGAACCAUGAUCAGGAUAAUAAAUUUUGUAUUCUCAUAUCUAAUUUAUGUUAUAACAUAUUUUUGUUCAAAUGCGUAAUAACAUUGUUCUAUUUUUUAUAUAAAAAAAUCAUAACUAAUUUUAAUUCCAAAAUUCAUAAAUGUAACUUUAAAACAAUAAUUAGAAACAUAUAAAUUAAAAUGCAUAACAUAAAAACAACGCACUUACCUUAUAAGACAAAUCAAAUAGUUUAUUCAGUUUUAUGUACUAUUAUAAAAUAUAUGAGACGUUAAAUAAUAAGAAAAUAUUAUCAAAUUUUUAUGGGUUCUUAGCGGGUAAACCGAUAUUGGUUCACAGGUUAAUAACAGUUUUUUAUCAGAUUUUAAUUAAUGAAUUUUCAUUAAAUCUGAAUUUUGUGAAAAUAUAUCAGUUGGUAUAACCUCUCAUAGAAUGCUACAUGAAGAACAUAAGCAUCUCUGAAUUAUAUAUGACCACCUGUUUUACUGGCUUGACAGCGGAUCGGAUAUGGAAACACUGCUUACAUUUCGAAUAAAAAAUAUUAGGAUAAUUUAGGUUUUGGGUAAUUUGUUUUAUAAAUAGUAUUUUUAGGAUAUUUGUUUAUUUAGAAAUUAAAUAUAAUUAAUAUUUGUAGGUAAAUCAUUUUUAUUUUAAAAAUACAUAUACCCAUUUGGUUUUCGGUUUGGUUUCAAUUUUUUGAUUCAAGAGAUAAAACAUCUAGUCGGGUAUUCAUGAAAUUCAGUUCAAUUUUGUUUUUGGUUUUUUCUGUUGGUUCCUAGGUUCCGGAUAAAUGUUCUAAGACUUAUAUACUAUUUCAUAUAGAAAUUCAUUAAAAAAAAUUAAAACCAAAAAUAAACUCGCGCUUUUCAGGCGCGGGUCAGAAUCUAGUAGGAACUUAAAACACAUAUAAUUUGAAAGUUAUCCAAAAGCUACAUACAGAAUUCAAAGUUACCAAGAUUUUCAAAAUCCACUUAUUUAAAAUAAAAUAAUUCAAUAUCAAAUACUGUAAACAAACAUAGGGAAUCUUUUUAAAAUAAUAACUUUAUAUACAUGCCAAUUAUUUGGAAGAACGGCAAGGAAAUUAAUUAAAAAACUAUUUUUUGAAUUUUGAGUAUGUUAAAACAUAGAAAUAUAAGUAUAUAUUGAAAAAAUAUAAUUAAUAUAAAUAUUUCUUUACUAAUAAAACAAAACAAGAUUAACAUGAAAUUGAAUAUAUUUUUUCCGAAGUAGUUGUGUACACUAUAAAUAAUCAUUUAUUUUAUAAUAGGUUAUACAAGUUUUGUUUAUAAACAAUGGAUAGUUUCAGUUUUUUUUUACCGAGUUAAUUCAUUCUUUCGUUUUCAAUACAUUCACAAAAAGAUAUUUUAAAAAGAACCAUUGAUAAGAAUAAUCCACUUUAUGUGAAACACUAUAAUGUUAAUAAGAAUUUUAUUUAUCAUUUCAAACAUGUUCUUUUGAUCAAAAGGAUAUAUAGAAAAUAAUAUAUAUAAAAUAAAAAGUCUAAAGACGCACAUCAGUUAGUUGGAUGGAUAAGCCAGUGAGAGUCUUAUCAAAAGUGUAAUAUUUUCUAAAAUUUCAAAACAAAUUCAUACAUUUUAUCUAAGACUAACAAGAAUUAUGAUAGGUUACUUUAGUGUAUGAUUAAAAUUUAUGAUAAGAAUAAUAAAAUGUACGGUAAAAAUCAUUAGACAUUAAAUAUUAUGCAAAUAGAUUAAUCGAGCAAGAUGAUAGGUAAAAUGAUGAUAAUGUUUUAUACAAAGUGUAUUAACAGUUAUAUGUGUCGAGAAAUAUACAUAAUAGUUUUAAAAAAAUUCAAAAUAUAUUUUAUAAACAUUAUAAGUACCUUUAUACACAUAAUAUAUUCAGUUAUAAAACAAAAAAAAUAUCUAAGAAGUAAUUAGCUUAAAGCUAUAAUUUUAUAGAAUACAUAAGUAGAAUGGCAGAAAAUAAUAUUUUAAUACAUUUAUAUUUAAAUAAAUUUAUACAAAAACAAAGAUUAUAUAUUAGUGAGAUUUAAAAUUAUUAUAAAAAUAAACUAAAUUAUUAAUACAAAAUUACACGUAGUGCGAAUUUAAAAUCUAGUCUAUAUAUAAAAGUUGAAACUAUAAGCCAUUGAAGAUAUCCACAUAGGAUGUUAAACAACCAAACAAAACAUGACAAAAUACUAUUUAAAUUUAUUAUUCUUAACAAUGUGAAAAUUUUGUUUAUAUAGGAUGUUAAUCACCAAUUAUAUUAUGUCAAAUCAUUAUCUUAAUUAAACAUCCAAAAUAGCCUAAAUACUAUAUUACCUUAACUAUAAGACAAAACAACUCAUAUUUCCAAAGUGCAAGCGAACUUAUUAAAAUGUAAUCUUAACAAAAAGAAAAACCUAACGAUCACAAGCUAUGACCAACCAUUGUAUACAGGACCGUGCCUGAUAAUUAUUGGCCCAUAAGCUAAAAUUAUUUUUUGGCCCUUUAAAUUUUAAAAUUCGCAAAAAUACUAAAUAGUGCAUCAAUGGAGGUUCAAACCAUGGUAUGUAAUUGCAGUAUCAGCCGCUUAUACCAAUAGAGCUACAUGAGAUUUCUGUAAUUUUUGGCCCCAACAAAUAAUCAAACCAUGGUAUGGAAUUGCAGUAUCAGCCGCUUAUACCAAUAGAGCUACAUGAGAUUUCUGUAAUUUUUGGCCCCAACAAAUAUUUAUUGUCUCCGGCCCUAAAGCACAUGCUUUACUGGUUUGUAUUCAGGCCCGGCCCUGAUUGUAUAUAAUAAUUUUAACUAACAAAAACGUAAAUAUUAAAAAAUAAUGUCUUAAGAUAUAUCAAGUUUUAAAAAUAUAUAUAAAUAUAAAUAUUUUAUUUAAAAUCAACCCAAGAUAUGGGAAUUGUGACAUAUACAACUGGGAAAAUAAGCAAAAUAACGGUACGACUACACAACCAAAAGGUUUAAAACUGCUAGCAUACACUGUCAGGUUGGUUUGAGCAACCCCGGAGCACACAUUUCCAUCACCUCUCAGUUGCUGUUAAUCCUGUUAAGGAGCCAAGGCAUCCAACUCUUUUCCACAGUCUAAUCCACCACAUAAGUUGAAGCUCACCAUUGCGAAGGAGGAACAGGGUACUCCAUACCUGAGAGAAUUAAGAUAUAAUCAGCCCUGGCCCAGAUAAAGACGAGAUGAGAAGGAGCCGCUUUGUCGAGGAGGGAAAUAGCAACUCAGAAGAAAAAGAUAUUUCCUGUGAAGAUAGACCAAGCGACACCACCACGACACUGGGAUGGAGCUCUCCAAAACGCCAUCACAAAAGGUUAAAUCGGAGCUCCGAUGACCGACAAAUCUCUGCAAAACCCCACGCGAUCCACCUCUAAAGACUAUAGAUGAUUCUUCAUCCUGCAAAGAGAAAGAGCAACCAGUGAUAGAACGGUUGCAAGUAGACACAAACCAAACUCUCUGACCAUCACCAAGAAUAGCGCUACACCGGUGAUGGCUCUCACACGCCAAAGCCAUGGAAUGAGAGAGACAAAGACUGGAGAAGACUGCCUGAACUGAUGACGCCUGAGUAUGGACGACUCCACGCGCCAAGUCAAGACUGGAAGUCAACACGCGUCGGUGGAGCUCAACAACUGACGCCGCCAGAAGAGAGUAAGGCCACCACACAACUUAAAGGAGCACCUCAUAUCUCUUAUAUACUAAUUGAGAAACAUUACAACAUUUUUGUAGCCAGGUGUCAUCACUAUGAUGAUUCUUAGAAUCUUUAAAGAAAUAUGUUGGUCCGUCUAAUUAUAUAAUAAAAUUUUUAUUAAACUAACCAUAAAUUCAUUAUUAUUGUUCUUUAUUAUUUUCUUAAAUAAAAGUUACAAAAUUACCUAAUGUGACUAAAGUAUAUAUGACAAUUAAUGAUUUUAAAUAAUAAAAAUUUGAUAAAAAUUAGUGUAUCUUCUAUCAUAUUUCUUUAAUUUUAAACUAUUAAAAUAAAUUAAAAAACUACAUUAACCAUAUAAAAAAAUUUAGAUUUUUCUGAAUAUGUUAUAUUUUAAAUUUUUUAAAAUGACUAUAAAUUACUAAAACUGAUAAAAUUUUCACAUUCAAAAUUUAUGAUCCAUAGUUUAAAAUUUUCGUUAUGACAAGAUACAAAUGAUUAAAAAAUCAUAUAAGUAAAUAGUCUAAUUUAAUUAAUUAUUAAGCUUAAAGGAUAUAUAUAUAUAUAUAUUAUUUUAAAUUAAACUAUAUACCAUAUAAAAUAUAUAAAUAUUUUAAUUUCAAAAUUUACUUUAAACAAUUUCUUUUGAUAAAAGCUUUGAAAAAAAUUAACAACUUAAGUUUUUAAAAAUUAAAAGUUACUAAAAAUACUUCUCUCGGAGGAAUGGGAACUUAUCUAGGAUUACCAGAAAAUCUUGGGGGUUCAAAGGUUCAGGUUUUUAGUUUUGUGCAGGAUAGACUAAACAAACGGGUUAAUGGUUGGACUUUUAAGUUCUUUACAAAAGGAGGAAAAGAGGUGAUUAUUAAAUCGGUGAUUACGGCAUUACCAAAUCAUGUGAUGUCUUGCUAUCGAUUGCCUAAGGCAACCGUAAAGAAACUGACAGGUGCGGUAGCCCAAUUUUGGUGGAGCCCCGGGGGAAGUACGAGAGGUAUGCAUUGGAAAUCUUGGGAUAAAGUAUGUGUUAGCAAGGAGGAAGGAGGACUGGGUUUUAAAGACAUCACUGAUUUCAAUACAGCGAUGCUUGGUAAACAGUUUUGGCGAUUGAUCGAGAAGCCAAAUACUUUAUUUUCUCGAGUUUUUAAAGGUCGAUAUUUCAGGAAUGCAUCACCCCUGGAACCGAUUCGCUCAUACUCUCCGUCAUAUGGAUGGCGGAGUAUUACAUCAGCUAGAUCUCUGGUUAGCAAAGGACUAAUCAAACGGGUGGGAUCAGGAUCUUCUAUCUCUGUAUGGAAUGAUCCUUGGCUCCCAACCACUCGCCCGAGACCAGCAAAUAAAAACCAACACAAUCUUUACCCUGACCUCACAGUGGCUUCUCUUAUAGACCCCACUUUGGGAAUUUGGAACUCGCAGGCACUUCAGGCUCUAGUGGAUCCACAGGAUGUGAAAAUUAUCGAGAGUAUACGACUGAGUAGAUAUCAGUUGGAGGACAAAGAUGGAUGGCAUUUCACAACAAAUGGGAAAUACACGGUUAAAUCGGGAUAUCAGGUAGAACGAGUUUACCCGGAUAGAGCAAAACCACCAGCAUUUUUUGGACCUACGGUCGAUGGUUUGAAAUCAUUCUGCUGGAAAGUCAGGUGUCCACCAAAGCUUAAACAUUUUCUCUGGCAGUUGGUGACAGGGUGUAUAGCGGUUAAGAAAAAUUUACAAGCGAGAGGGAUAACUGGCGAUAUAUGUUGUACAAGAUGCGGAGCUGAGGAGGAAUCGAUAAAUCAUGUGUUUUUCGAAUGUCCUCCAGCACUUCAGGUUUGGGCUCUCUCAAAGAUACCAUCAAAUCCAACUACAUUUCCCACACAAUCCCUUUUUGCAAAUAUGGAUCAUCUUUUCUGGAGAGUCUUUCCGCAGUUAGAUGAUCAUCAGUUCGCAUGGAUACUAUGGUAUAUCUGGAAAGGAAGGAAUAGUAAGGUUUUUAGUAAUCUGGAUAUUGAUCCUAGGGAUACGCUCAAAUUGGCGGAAACAGAAUCAACCCUUUGGGCUGAAGCCCAACUAGUGAAUGAACAGAGAAUGGUCCCACAGGAAGAGAUUAGGUCUUCACUGUUAAAUCCAGGACGAUGGUGUUUCACAGAUGGUUCCUGGAAAGAGAAAGAUACUUUCUCCGGCCAGGGUUGGCACAGCACUUUAGAAGGCUUCGCUGGGUUGCUGGGGGCGAGGAAUGUUCGGGCUAGCCUUUCUCCUCUACAUGCGGAGAUGGAAGCACUACUAUGGGCUAUGGAAUGUAUGAGGAAUUUACGUCAAUCUCAGGUUACGUUUGCAACGGAUUGUUCUCAAUUGGUGAAGAUGGUUUCGGAACCAGAAGAGUGGCCAGCGUUUGCAAGUUAUUUGGAAGACAUCAAAAGUCUGAGAGCAAGUUUCCUACAAUCAGAGAUCGUCCAUGUACCAAGAGCGCAGAAUACAAAGGCGGAUAGCCUAGCACGCAGUGUUAGGAUUCAGCCGUCUUUCGUCGUUCACAUGGAUCAAUAUCUUCCGGCUUGGUUUACAGAGUCUAUAUGAGUCUGUAAAGUUGACGACAAAAAAAAAAAAAAAAAAAAAAAAAAAAAAACUUUUCCCAAAAAAAANNNNNNNNNNNNNNNNNNNNNNNNNNNNNNNNAAAAGUUGACAAAAAAAAAAAAAAAAAAAAAAAAACUAAAAAUACUUCUCUCACAAUGAAAAUUUUGUUAUCAGUAUUUUAAAUGUUUUGCUAUAAUAGAUACAAAUGAUCAAAAAAACCAUAUGAGUAGAAAAUAUCAUUUAAUAGACAGUAAAAUUAAAAAUAUUUUAUAUAUGUUAAUAUCAUUUAAAUUUAACUAUAUAUCCUAUCAAAUAAAAAAAUAUUGCUGGAUUAAUAAAAUUUAUUUAUAUGUUUCACCAAUUUAAUUAUAUAUGUAAUAGUUACUGAAUUUUCAAUUAUUCAAGGGGAAUUGCCACAAAUACCACUUUCAAUGUACCAUUUUUCAUUAAUACCUUAACCAAUUUUACCAUUAAAAUUUUAAUAGGCAAAAUACAAUUAUGCCCCUAUCUAAUUAAAACUACAACUAUUAUCUUCUUCUCCACUAUCCGAUAAUCAAUCCGACGAGAUCCGGUGAUUCUGACGAGUUUUCCGGCGAGCUUUGACAACGAAGACGAGCUCUCUUGCGAAAUCUGACGAUGCUGAUGAAUUCUCUGGCGAAACACGAAUGAGACGAUCUCUCUCCUGAUGCUGAUGAGUUUCCGGUGAGAUAUGACGACGCUAACGAGUUUUCCGGCGAGAUCUGACGAUGCCGAGAAGUUCUACGGCAAAGCUGACAGACUCGACAAGCUCAGACGAACGAGACGAUCUCUCUCCCAACGCCUAACGAGAAAUUCUCCGGCAAAGCUGACAGACUCGACAAGCUCAGACGAACGAGACGAUCUCUCUCCCAACGCCUAAGAAACACUAACAAAGGUAAGAUGAUAGUAUAUGGUGAUUUUUGCCUCUUUCUGUAAUUUUAGCUUGAUUUAUCAAAAUCGAUAUGUUUCUAAGAAAGAAGACGAAGUUUUUCAAGUGAAGUUUUCAGAUCUCAUAUUUAUAAGAUCUUAUAAAUUGGGUCCUUUCAAAUCUUACUGUUGAUCUGUUAGCAAUCAAAAGACACAAAGCUUAACGUAAGAGUACAAUUAUUGAUUUGGUUGAUUUAUUGUCAUAGUUUUCAGAUUUAUAUAAUUAUUUAAUUCAUGAGAAGGUACUAACCUAAGAGUAUAAUUAUUCCAUGAUUACUUCUUCUCUUGGUUGAUUUGGUGAUGUUGCAGAGAAUUAAAAAUGUGUGUUGUCAGCUUUUGGAUUUAAAGGAUGUUGUGGAGAAUAUGUGUGGUGAUAUGCAUAUCUAAGUAUCUCACUUCCUUAAGGUAAUACAAUGCUAUUAUUUGUAGUUUGACUAGCAAUGUUUUAGUAUGUGCAGUAUAUGAGGUGGAACGUUGGUGUUUUGGUAGUGUAACGUUCUAUUUAUACUUUGUGAGAUUUAUUUUUUAUGUCUUGUUUUGUGUAUAAUAUCUACAGAAGCAGUGGAGAUGAAGGAUGAGUUUGUUGAGUUACGAAAGCAUACUAUUUUUGAAUCUUAUUUUGGAAGUGAAUGCUGAUGCGUAGAAAUAAUAUGUGACUGGCUUUUGUUCAGAUUUUGAAAAUUUACGAGGUUGGUGAGCUGUUUGAAGAGGCAAGAGAGACUCUGAAGAAGAAUGUGGUUUGUGCUAUCAAAGAAUUACGUAUUUAUAACGCUUUAUAAAAGUUGCAGAGUUGGCUUCUUAGUACAUUCUUCUCUCUCAUCUUCUUUAGACAUCUCUUAUACUAAAACAAUUGUAUCUCUCUUUUAGUAGUUGCAUAGUUGAAGAUAUUAGUUGGACAUGUAAGUGAGUUUGGUUUCAAUUGUUUCUUUUAUAGAAGAGUGAGAUAUGGAGAAGCCUUGAUGUUCUCAGACUAUGUUAAAGCAAUAUAUCCCUUGUUGAAGGACGUGGCUCUUUCACCAGAUAUGUCUUUUUUGUGUUGAUUAUCUUUUGGAGGGAUUUUAGAAAAAUUACCUUAUAAGCCAUUGUAAAUAAAUUUAUAAACGCUUAUAAAUCACUUUGAGUUUCUUACACUCAUUCUGCCUAGCAUUCCUCACAAGACUUCUCAAGUUCAAACAUUUAUGUGUUUUGUAUAGACAUAUACAAUCAACUCUUCUUUAAAAACUUCUUAAUAAAAACUUAUAAAUCGUCGAGUUGUACUUUUAAUAAUGGACUUAUAAAUAGCUUAUAUGUUCUUGUAAAUAGUUUAAUACACCCUUUUAAAUAGUUUUAUAAACCUGUAUAAAUAGUUAUAUACUUUUGUAAAGAGAUGAUGAUACGUGGCAGAUUGUGAGGCACAUGAGGACAGCAAGCAAGACUCCACCGCUUCAGAAAUUUUACAUACUUUUAUAAAUUAUUUUAUAAUCCUUUAUAAUGGUGUAUAAACUUUAUAAAUUAUUUUUAUAAACCCUUAUAAAUUAUUUACAUACUCUUAUAAACCCUUAUAUAUUAUUAUACAAACCAUUAUAAAUUGUUUUAUAAGGCUUUCAUAAAGUUUUUAUAAACCCUUAUUAAUAGUAUACAUACCUCUUAUAAAUUAUUUAUAAAAUUUCAUAACUUUCUUAUAAACAUUUAUAAAUGAUUUAUAGAUCUUAUAACUUGUUUUAUAUGUCAUUAUUAAUGGUUUAUAUACUCUUACAAAUAAUCUUACAUACCCUUAUAAGGCUUUGUAAAGAGAUGAUGAUACGUGACAGAUUCUAAGGCACAUGUGGACAGCAAGCACGGCUCCACCGCUUCAGAAAUUUUACAUAUCCUUAUAAAUUGUUUUAUUAUAAUCCUUUAUAAUGGUGUAUAAACUUUAUAAAUUAUUUUUAUAAACCCGUAUCCAUUAUUAUACAAACCAUUAUAAAUUAUUUUAUAAGGCUUUCUAAAUGGUUAUAGACUCUUUUAGUUGAUUUAUAAACCUAUACAACUCUUAUAAUAUCCCUUAUAAAUUGAAUAUAAUCUUUCAUAAAGUUUUUAUAAACUCUUAUUAAUAGUAUACAUACCCCUUAUAAAUUAUUUAUAAACUUUCAUAACUUUCUUAUAAACAUUUAUAAAUGGUUUAUAGAUUUUAUAACUUGUUUUAUAUGCAUUUAUUAAUGGUUUAUAAACUCUUACAAAUAAUUUUACAUAUCUUUAUAAGGAUUUGUAAGGAGAUAAUGAUACGUGGCAGGUUCUGAGGUACAUGUGGACAGCAAUCAAGAUUCCACCGCUUCAGAAAUUUUAAAUUCCCUUAUAAAUCAUUUUAUAAUAUUUUAUAAUGGUAUAUAAACUUAAUAAAUUAUUUUUAUAAACCCGUAUACAUUAUUUACAUACCCUUAUAAACCCUUAUAAAUUAUUAUACAAACCAUUAUAAAUUGUUUUAUAAGGCUUUCUAAAUGGUUAUAGACUCUUUUAGUUGAUUUAUAAACCUAUACAACUCUUAUAAUACCUCUUAUAAAUUGAAUAUAAUCUUUCAUACAGUUUUUAUAAACUCUUAUUAAUAGUAUACAUACCCCUUAUAAACUAUUUAUAAACUUUCAUAACUUUCUUAUAAACAUUUAUAAAUGGUUUAUAGAUUUUAUAACUUGUUUUAUAUGCAUUUAUUAAUAGUUUAUAAACUCUUACAAAUAAUUUUACAUAUCCUUAUAAGGCUUUGUAAAGAGAUGAUGAUACAUGGCAGAUUCUGAGGUACAUGUGGACAGCAAUCAAGACUCCACCGCUUCAGAAAUUUUAAAUUCCCAUAUAAAUCAUUUUAUAAUAUUUAUAAUGGUGUAUAAACUUAAUAAAUUAUUUUUAUAAACCCAUAUACAUUAUUUACGUACCCUUAUAAACCCUUAUAAAUUAUUAUACAAACCAUUAUAAAUUAUUUUAUAAGGCUUUCUAAAUGGUUAUAGACUCUUUUAGUUGAUUUAUAAACCUAUGGAACUCAUAUAAUACCCUUAUAAAUUGAAUGUAUGCUUUCAUAACGUUUUUUUAUAAACUUUUAUAAAUUAUUUACAUUCAUCAAUAAUCAUAGAUCUAACCCCAUUGGUUGAUAUGAGAAAGUGAACCAUAGAUCUACCCCCAUUCAUGAAUAAUCUUAUUUGCAUAAGGUUCUCCUGAAAAUUGAAUGUUAUUCUUUCUAGCUAGUUCUACAACACUUCCGCAAGGUGUGAAUUCUCAAUUUCACUAAAUUCCUCCUUACCUAAAAUACAAAAAAUCAUUUUCAACAUAAUUCAUAUUUGAACGUUGGAUGAUCAGUUUGGCUUGUCUGGUAGCUCUGUUGAAGUAUCACAAUACCUCGUAGUUAACUUCAAAAUUGUGCAGAAUUUAUAAACCUUAUAAAUUAUUUAACAAACUUUAUAAACUGUCUUAUAAGCCUUUCUAAAUUGUCUUUAAUUAAUUGAGUUACUUAACACAUCGUUUUCUGCAGCUGAGGUGGAGCCUUCACUUGCGUUAUAUCAUACUUUUUAUCACUGCUAAAAGAAACAGACUCUGCAAUCUAAGACACAAGAAGAAACUAAAAAAUGUCAAUGGUUGGUCAAUAAGACUUUAGAAAAAAAAACAAGAGACAAUGAUGAAUUUGAUGAUUAACAUUGUAGAUCAAAGAAAAUGUGUGAUGGCAGAGUUGUGGCUCUCAUAUAAGCUUGAACAUAUGCUUCUUUUAUGAGUGUCGGGAACUGAACAUGUCAAUUACAUUACUAAAUAACUUCGAUUUAUAAAGAGUUAUAAAUUUUCAAAAACUCAAUGUUCACUAUUAGAAAUCAUUCUCUUAGAUCAGACUAUUAAUAGAUAACUCUUUCUCUUAGAUCAAAACAACAAAAUCCGAAAAAAUACUUACAGGUUGUGAUUCUUGCUGAGGAUUCAACAUUUGAAGUUUUGAGUCUCGAUCUCGAUUGCUUCGUGGAUCUGGACGAAGACGACGAAUCUGGACGAAGACGUCGGUUCAGGACAGAGACGGUGGAUCUGGAGGACAGAGACGGCGAAUAGACGGCGAAUCUGAACGGAGACGGCGGAUCUGAACGGAAAACAGCGGAUCUGAACAGAGACGAUAGACGACGGACGACGGACGGAGAUUCACGAGAGAGAGAGAAAUGAGUUGAAGAUAAGUUAAGGGCAAUAUUGUCUUUUACACAUUAAUGAAUGUUGUAUUUUUGAAAAUGUCUUUUGAUUGAUGGUAAAGUUGAAAAGUGGUAUCAUAAAAGAUGUAUAAGUAAAAUUUUCCCAUUAUUCAAUAUAUAUGUAUUAUUUUAUAAUAGAUAAAAAAUAUAUAAAACCUAAAAUAAUUUAUAUAUCUAAUAUUCAUUCUGCAUCUUCUUUGGUAUUCCAUGACCUCAAACAUGUUUUUAAGAAGAAGGAACCUUUUGCCAGAGUGGUUAUUUUUUAGGGGUUUACUUAUGGGUUCAUUGUUUAACUCGCCCAUAUCACAAGUAACAUCUAAAAGAGUGUUUAUUAUGGGUUUGAGUUGCUUCUCAUUGAUCAAAAGGCAUAAUGAAGUUUAUUUAGUCAUUACUAAUCUAUACAUGUUCAUGAAACACUAUAUAUUAUGUUUGACACGAAUUCUUACAGGCAACAACAAUAAUCAGUGUUCUAAAAUAAGUUAUACGCUAGCUAGGCGGUGAACUACCGUAUAGUGUCUAACUAUAUAUGCGGACAAAUAUUCGGAGUAUAUGCGGUAGGUUUUUACAAAGAGAAAAAUAAUAUAUUUAGUAAUUAAAUUGAUAAAUCCAGUUUUUUAUAAUCAAUGCAGAUAGUUCUUAUUAUUUUCUAAUCUAAGAUAAACGAUACCAUUCUGCUGAAUAUGUACUAAGAUUGAUAUUUUUUUUGUAAAAGCCCGUUGUAAAACAAAAUUAUAUAGUUCUAAUAUUUUGGACAAGAAAAUACAACUCUGGACAAUAUAAUACAACAAUCAUGUCGAGAAAAAAUGAAAAGUUGUACAAACCUUUAUAUAAAUUUUGAAUUCAACGCACACUUUUAAAGUCAUUAGAAACAAUAUUUACUUCAUUUUAUAUUCGUAUAAGUGCAUAUACAAACCACACUGAGUCAAUUUCAUGUUUAGAUUUCUAAGUUUUUAGGUGGCCGUAUACGAACGGUAACAAAUCUCACAAGGACAGUGCAAUUUUACAUUGUGGUUGUAAACGUCCGUCAUCAAUGUUGAGAGCUGAAUGGAAGUCGGUAUGUUGUCCAUAGGAUCAUGACUUCAGAAACAGUCUUGGCCUGCUAAAUCGAUGAUUUUCUUCUCAAUGUCACGGUGGUGUGCACGAUUCAAGUUCAGUUGCACUUCACACUGUCAAUCUUCUGACCUCAACAAUUAAAGUUGAUACAGAUCAGCUGUAUCUAAGAUUCUGUUUUCGAACUAUUUCGCUAACAAAAGGUUAUACACUGCAGGUAUAUGAAGGAAAACAUGACUGAAAAGUAGAAAGAUCUUCUAUUUAUUUACCAUACGGAACCUUAGCAACUUUCUACAAGGCUCGGGUGUUUUUGCAUAAGGUGUUCUUGAUACCUUGUGUUUCCAUGUCCAUUAACUGUAGUCUCUAUUACUCAGUUUUCGAGAAAAAUGAUUGUGUUAAUCCUUUUCACCAUUUAUGAUAGAUGGAGCUCUGAAUGUCUCAUUUACCUUAUGUCUGACUAGAUACUUUUAAGAUAUUCAGAUUACCAUGAGAUUACAUAAGGGUAAUUGGGGGCUAUAACCACAGAAAAAACCAAUAUUCACCAUGUAGCCAUUUAACCUAACGAAUCUAUAGACGCUGUUAGAAAUAUAAAAUAAUACUGUAAUACCCCUAAAAACAACCGGCUCAACCUGAUAGAAAAAUAAUUAAAUAUUUUAAUUAUUCAUCCCACAAAAAUAACUCAGUGUCUCAUCCUUCUUCACUUCUUCUCCUUUUAACUUCUCUGGUAAUUUUGCUGCAGUCAAACGGUCUCCAGCACCGCUUUCAUCCAUCGCUUCCACUCUGCAUGCAAUCAACAUCUUUUCCAGCUCCUCCGUUCUCUGUUUUUAAUCUUCUUCGGCGUUACAGUUCUUGGUUAGGAUUUCAGCGGCGGUAGUAAGAAACCCUUUCUACCCAAUUUCACCCCUUCGAUUCUUCUCCGAUCUCUGAACCCCCCGUAAGUUCUCCUUCUCUCUUGUAGAUUCUCUUCACCGUGUCGUCCUAUGUGUUUAUUUUCUUUCAAUUUGGGGCUCAUCUCAUAAUCAAAGUGUUAUAGUUUCUAAGUCUGUAUCAUCGGCUGAUGUGAAUUCGAUCGUCCCCGAUUCAGAAUUAGUCUCUCCCACUAAGUUCUCUGUGUUGCGAAAUAAGUAGUGUAGUAAUUUAGGGGAAGAUGCAUGGAAUAUCAUUGCUUAGAAAUUCUCAGUCGGUACACAUAGUAUGAUAUUUCGACUCUGAUUUCCAUUUGAAAUGUAAUAGUAUACUUAUCCCAUUCAACUAUUCCACUGAGGAUAUUAUCACUUGCAAUUAUGUUUUGCUUUGCUGCAAUUUGUGGUCGGUUGUGGUUCUCUCUCUGAUGUUCUUAUUCUAAGUUAUGCUUGAAUUGGGGUUUUUGUGGCUGGAGCCGCUGCGAACCUCUAGUCUUCUCUUUUACAUAGGCGAUUCGUCUGAGAUCUGUUGCAAUAUUGUAAGUUCUCAUAUGUCUGGCUUUGAUUAUAUGCUUGCGCUGCUUUUUCCCCCAUUCAAAUAUUGUAGCUCUAGCUUAAUCUAAUUUGUUAAAUCUAACCCAACAGUUCAUUUGCAUGUCGGAUCUAGUAGAGAGAGGUCCCUGAAUUGAUUGAGUGUCUAAGUUCCCCGGUUUGUCGGAUUCUACGAAGUCCUCCGGGAUAAAUUAUGUUUGGAAUCGAAAGGAACAUAUGUGGGGUAGAACUAUAUUGAUUGAUUGUGUCAAAUGGAAUAGCUUAAUAACUAUGUCUGAAAUGGAACAUCUUAUCUUGUAGUUGUCUUAUCGUUCUAUUCCAUGUAGCUAGUCGUCAUGAAGUAUCGUAGUAUAAGUAUACAAAAUUGCUAUUCCAUUUCGUGUAUGUUUCUAUUCCAUACUAUACCGAAAGUAGCUAAACUAUGUAAAAUAUUAUAUCUUAUAUUAUGCUUCGUAUCACUGCUAUUUUUUUCACUGCAUAUUUGGUUUGAUAAACAUACACUACUUACCAUUAAUUUGGCGUUCUGCUUUUGUUCGUCAGGUUUGUCAUGGAUGAGUUGGAGCUUCCAUUCACAUAUUAGAUCGACAUUGUCACUACUGUCUGAGUUCUGGGAGUCUUUUGCGAUCGAAAAACUUCUCCCAAAAUUCUAACCUUCUCUUCUUCCAAAACCGCCAGUGCGCCACCCCAGUUACAGCCGAGGCGGCGAGGAGCAUCACCCCGAACGACAGUGUUAUGGCUCCGUGCAUCCAUCUUCCCAAUCCAAGAUUUGUCACUGAGUGAAGACGAAAUAUGAAAACAUAGUUUAUUAUGCGAUAUAUUAUGUUACUAUACUAUUUCAUCAGGUUCCAUUUCAUUUGACGAUUACUAAAAAGUGCUCUAUUUUGUUUAGAAAUAUAGUUUGUAAUUUCCUUAGGUUCUAACUAUCGUUACAUGUUUUUGAACCUGUAAAAAUUGUACUAUAAUCUAUAUUAUAUAGUGUAAUAUUACAUAAUAUAAUUUAAUAUUACACAUGCACUUUUUAGAUUUUGAUAUUUGGGUUUAGGGUUUAUAUUUGGAUUAAGGUUUAGUGAUUUGAGUUUAGGGUUUAGUAUUUAAAAGGUGAAGGGGUACAGUUAGGGUCAACAUUAACUUCUUACAUGCAAUCGUAUACAUUUCAUAAUUUCACUCAUAUGUACUAUGUUAUUUAUUUUGUUCCAUUCUAUUUGGGUUUAAGAUUUAUAUUUGGGUUUAGAGUUUAUAUUUGUGUUAUGGUUUAGUGAUUAGAGUUUAGAGUUUAGUAUUUCGAAGGUCAGAGGGUAUGGUUGUGGUCAACAUUAUAGACACUUCAAAAUUUAAACAAUAUAUAUAUGUACUGUGCUAUAUCAUUUGUCACAUUUUAUAUUCUAUAGCUCAUGUAAAAUGGAAAUGCAUGUUACUUGGGGGUUUAAUUUAUGAAAGAUUGAGGUUGACAUUGGAUUAGAGUUUAUAUUUCCAUAUAGGGUUUAGUGAUUAAUGGCUAUGGUUUAGUUUAUGGAAGAUUGAAGUUGACAUUGGAUUAGAGUUUAUAUUUUUAUGUAGGGUUUAGUGAUAGUUAAAUUCCUUCGGAUGGACUUACAGUGGUAAUUAGAUGGAAUACAACACUUAUUGGUACACGUUCUAAUUUACACCACUUAUUUAACUCUGCACAGUAAAACAUCUCUAAUAACUCCACCUAUUUGCGUGGCUUCCUCCUAAUCUUUUAUAUGGAAUAGUUGUAAUCCAUUAGUGGUCAUUAACUGUAGGGAAUAAAUCAUCAUCUCUGCACAACGCACACAUCAGCGUCUACAUAAGUGGUUAUUUUGGGUCAUGUGCAUACACCUAUUCUACUUUAUGUAGUUCAUGUGGAAUGGAAAGAAGAUUCUUCGCAUGUAUCUAUUUACGUUCAUAAUAUAUAUUACAUUCCAUCUGACUCAUGUUAAACGGAAAGUUUCGUCUACUGAACUCGGCUUGACUUUCUAUAAACCAUUUCGUAUUUUACUUUCACUAUGCAUCUUAUUACGGUUCUAAAAUUAAGAAUACCAUCACUCCAUUGUAAAUGAACUUACAAUAAACCAUUCCACGUACGUGACAUAGUAUGGAAAGCAAUACAAUCGGAAUAGUAUUUGUCAUCAUUUUCGGAUCGCCGCUGCGUACAACGAUCCUUAUUAUAUGUGAUUGUUACUAUGGCAGAAAAACUCUCCACGUCGUUCACUUUAUAACAACGAACCGGCAACCUGUUAUGGUAAGGGGUAUAACCGGGUAAAAUCAAGCCAAAAAGUCUGAUAAUAAAUUACGUCAAAAUCAUUGUUACUUUCUUCAUUUGUCUUUGAAAUCUGGCUAUACGGCCAAUAAGCCCAUUACAUAAUACACUCUGUUUUAUUGUAUUUCUUUGUUCUAUUACUAAGUAUCCAUGGAUCCUCACCUUCUUUUUUUUUUUUUUUUUUNNNNNNNNNNNNNNNNNNNNNNNNNNNNNNNNNNNNNNNNNNNNNNNNUGGAUCCCCCCCUUCUUUUUUUUUUUUUUUUUUUUUGAUCCUCACCUUCAUGAAUAUACAGAAAUGGAGAAUUAAUCUGUGUAUAUAUAGAUCCUCACCUUCAUGAAUAUACACAGAUUAAUUCUCCAUUUCUGACACCAGCAGGACAGGACCUCCUACCCGAAGGUCAAAAUCCUCUGGUUACACACAAAGCCGGACAGAGAAUAAGAUAAAAUAAUUGCUCUUCACCAAAAGAUACUGUACAAGACAGCCUGAGAUAUAGAAGUAGAACCGUGUUAAUGGAUACCAAGACUUUUUAGGACCAGGGCUUUGCAAAUAAUUACAAAAAAACUGAAACUAUUUCUUUUGGAAAUUGAGUUUGCUCAUGAAGAAGGCAAAAAGAGAAGCCACGACAAUGGGGAAAGCGAUGAGGACAAACGCUACAAGAGCCAACGAGUCAUGUCUGUAACCAAAGUAAUCCACCAGGAAAGCUGAAACUCUCUUCGUCUCACCAAAUGCUAUUAUCUCUUUGUCAACAUCUCCGUACUGCGAAUUCAGUAAGCCUUCCAACACCCAUGAUGUGGGGCUCAAGUAGUACAUCCAUAUCCACCAUUUUGGGAUUUUCUGUGGAAAAAGAUUUACAUUUUUCAUGUUCACAAGUCUGAAACUUGAUUUCAACCCAAGGCACCAUAAUAUCGUUCUUAUAUGAUACAAUUUCAUUCAAUGCAGAAACAUUUUGAGCUACAUAUAAGACCUAAAGAAAUGUCUAUAAGAACACAUACUUCAUAUCUUGGUUAUUUGUGAAAAUGGCAUGAGAGAGAAGGGGGGCUUACCUGUUUCGGAAUGGUAAAGCCAGCAAACAGAUUUACCAUGGAGAAAAAAGUCGUCCGUAGAGUCAAUGCCAUAUGGAUGUUAGGCGUCAAAGCGACCAUAAGCAUGCCACAGUAGUUGAAGACAAGCAACGAGCAAAAAGUGCUGUACCAGCUCCAAAACAUUUUGUAGACUGACAUAUGGUAACCGAUCAUUGGAUAUACGAUUAUAGUACAUAGAAGGGACUGGAGUAAUGAGUAUGGAAUCUCAACAAGGACCUGCAAAGCCAUAUAAGGAUUCAACUCUGGAUGCUAUCCGACAAAAGUAUUGGCAUCUAAUAAUAGGAGUGAAAGCAAGAUCUAUUAACCUGAGAAAAUGAGUAUGCCCAUGAGGAAUACAUCCGAGCAAACCUUUCACGGUAGAAAACGUUGCGUUCGGUUGCAAUGAAGUUCAUCACUGUUGCACAGUUGUUUAUACCCGAGAAGAUUACUAGAGUGUACAUUGAGCCAAAUAUGCUGAAAAGAUCUUGCUGAUUAUUUCUGCAGAGUAAAAAAGAAACACAGACUGAUUAACUUGAAUUUUUGGUGGAGACUCGCAACUCACAAUUAUAUUUCAAAAUAGGGAACAGAGACUUACAUGUCCUUAGCUUUUUGCCAGAAGAGAAGGCCACAUAACGUAGAGUUGAGAAACAUGAAGACUAUGCGAGUGAGAUUGUGAGAAGGGUUUCUCCAAUACGAGCAAUGUUGUUUCCAAAGGCAAGCCUUUAGUUGCCCCCAACCUGUCUGUGAAAAACGCGAAGGAAAGCUCAAAUCUUCUGAUCCCAAAGACGAAGAACUCAGUUUCUCAACCACCAGUUUGUUCUCCCUGCAAGAAAUUACCGAACAAAACAACACUGAGAACAAUAGUUUUUACCGACGGAUGCAAACCAUUAUGAGGAUUGCUGCACAAAGACUCACUUGUACAGAGUUGAAUCCUUGUAUGCUUGUGCAAAAUCCAUUCCAAGUUGUUCCUCUGUAUAUUUACUAGUAAUAUCUAACAUCCAGGUGGCUGGAUUACAGUUCUUUUGGAUCUUUGGAACUCCAGGAAUUCUCUAUUGAUAAAAUAGUUACUCUAAAAAGUUAUUUCGUGAAAAAAAAUAAAAAAAUAGCCUAGGAUGAAAGCAGUCUAGUAUUGUCCAGAAACUGACCUCAAAGUAGUCUAUAACUUUACUUGAAUGUUUUCCAAGAGGGCCAUAGUAGACAAGCUGUCCCCCGUUUUUCAUUAGGAUCAGCUGCAAUUACAGUAAUAAGAAGCUGCAGAGGAAGUUUAGCGUAUGAGGUUAGAGUCAAUUGUGUUUUAGCCGUUUUACCUCAUCAAAUGUCUCGAAGAUAUCUAUGCUCGGCUGGUGGAUCGUGCAAACAACCGUUCUCCCAGUCUCAGCAACAUUUUUCACAGCCCUCAUAACAAUGGCAGCGGCUCUUGCGUCUAGCCCUGUGGUAGGUUCAUCCAUAAAUAUGAUGGAAGGGUUAGCAACAAGCUCCACAGCUAUAGUCAGCCUUUUGCGUUGUUCUGUGGAUAAACCACUAACUCCUGGAAGUCCCACCAUGGAAUAUUUAAUAUCCUCAAGCUCGACUGUCUCAAGAACUUCAUUGACGAGUUCCUGAAGCCACAUCCAGAGUAUAUAUAGUCAGAUUAAAAUGCUGUCUGUGCCUUGUUGUGGACUCUUUUUUGGAGAAUGUGACUACUUACAUUCUUGAUCUUUGAAUCGAUGUUAUAGGGAAGUCGAAGCCAAGCAGAGUAUUUCAAAGACUCUUCCACUGUUAUAUUAGGAGAAUGAAUAUCAAACUGUUCACAGUAACCUGAUACUCGUGCAAAAGUUUCUUGAACCUUAGGAUACCCUCCAACUCGGAUCUCUCCUUUGAUGUCACCACGUGUUUUCCUUCCAGAAAGGACAUCAAGAAGAGUCGUUUUACCAGCUCCACUGACACCCAUCAGAGAUGUGAGAACUCCGGGCUUCAAUGCGCCUGUCACAUCCGAGAGAAGCUGCCGCUUCAUUCCCUAAGAGGGACAUGAGUUACAUGUAAGCUUGUGCUCUGCUUGAGAAAAUAUAAGUAUAAUUUUACCUGAGGAGUCUCAAUCUGAUACUGCACGUUUUGAAAUGUGACAUUGAGGGGCUUGAAAGGCAAGAUGAUUUUUCCUGUCAAAAUGGACCAAAAGAUAUUAAAAUAUAUGUCAGUCAAUGGCUAGUUUUUUUUUUUUUGAAUGAACGGCAAGUUAAAACUGAAGAAGAGGUAUCAGACUACAAGAAAAAGAUACCUGUUUUAGCUCGGGACGGACAGGGCUUAAAAUCUUCGUCUGAGGGCUGAAUAUUCUUCCCAUGAGAGACAAUAGCACGGGAUCUUUGUGGAUCUUAACAUGCAAGAGAUGUUCUUGUCAAAGUUAUAAUUGAAUAACCAGUUAUAAAGUCAUUUGUGAUGAACUUACUAUUCCGAUAUGUCAAAGCCAAUGCGUAGAGGACAUUGAAGAAGAAUAUAAACCCGAUUAAAGCCGCAAAACCUAUCCAAUAAGAGUGCCUUCCGAAAUUCAGUCCACGUACAUCUAACACUUGUUCCCCGGCCGUAGUGUUGCCAGAGAUUAACUAUUGCAAAAGAUGUAGCAGAUCAAGAAAACUAGAGUUGCUAGAAGAAAAAAUGUGAAAGACUUCUGAAGUAUUAUAUUUACCUUUCUCCACCGUGGAGCGUAAAAUUCAUUUGCAGUUAGACCAAUCUCAGCAUAUGACAAUGGAGAAAUCCAAAAUCCCCAUUCCAGCCAAGCAGGCAUGGACGCUGAAAUAUACAACCCCUUUUUUUGGUUAACUAAUCCUCACAAAGUGCAUGGUUAUAAUCACCACUGAAACUUACAUUUUGGAAUAACGAAGCCUCCGAAUGAUGAGAGAAACAAUACAGAGAUAGCUCCGAUGAUUGAGGAAGCAACAAACGUGCGAAAGAUUGCUGCUAUGGCGCGAAACAUUGAUACACACGAAAUGUUGAAUGUAAAUAAGAUAAGGAACUGUCGAAAGAACCUGAAGGAAAGUAACACUUACUGUUAGAAGCAGUUUUACUCGAACUGAGUUUUGGAUUUAGUUUUAAAAAAACUAAAAUAAAGUUACCUACCUUCCGACUUCGGGGCUGUAACCAAUGGCAUAAUAUGUGAGUAAUGUCCAAAGGAACGAGUCAAAAACCGAAAGAGGUAUCUUUAAGAAAAUUGAAGGGAUUGCAUAUGCCCAAGCAGGAUAGAAGUAUAAAUCUUUUUGUUUGCAGAACACUCCCAUUCUAGAGAGAGUCAAAGUGAGCUCUGGAAGCCCAUCAGCAAGAAGUCUAAACAGAGCAGUGAAGAGAGAACCCAUAAGAUAGUUCCCAUGACGAGCAUCCGUCGUAGCUCCAGCUUGUAGAAAAACGGUCAUUGUUACUAGCGCAUUGAAAACUAACUGCAGAAAAAAAAGGGGGUUGAGCAUAGAAUGGUAAAUAAUGAUGGAACCUUCUUUAGAGAGUAGAAGGAAGGUUACCAGUCCAGAUUUGAACAAGUAAAUGAAAGAGUUGCGUUUCAUCAAAAGAUACUCUCUCCUCGAGCAAGCUUUAAGCAUCUCCCAUUUACCCAAUGAGUAUUUUCUAAAACAUAAACCAUCCUUGCGAGACUGAGACUUUUGAAACGGCUUGGAGAGUUCUUCCUUUACCAGAACCCCAAGAUUUGAUUCUUGAAACUUGUCGAUGAAUGAAUCAACAGAUAUAUAACUGUAGGGCUUGUCUCUCAGGCACCAAUAUUGUUCUUGAUCUUUUUUAGACAUAACCUGUUGCAGCAGAAUCAUGUAAAUGGUUAAGGUUCUCCACCAGAUAUGGUCUAUUUUAGUCCCAUACCUCUUGGAGGAAGUCAGCAACGCCUUUCCUCUCUGGACACUUAAAUCCAAAAUCUUCAAAGAAUCUGCAGAUAUCAGCUCGAGGAGCAUGGUAAAUUAUCUUUCCUUCGCCCAUCAGAAUCACAUCGUCGAAAAGCUCAAACGUUUCUGGUGCAGGCUGAAGAAGUGAAACCAAUAUGGUGGCUCCAGCUAUAUGCGCCAACUGCUGGAGACAUGACACUAUCUGGAACGUAGUUGAGCUGUCCAAACCAUUCGAUAUUUCAUCCAUGAACAGAGUCGUAGCUGGACCCACAACCAGUUCUCCUAGUAGCCGCGACAUAGAUAUUUUAAUAGCUCUGUUCAGACGACUGUGAAUGGCUGUAGGAAAAGGAAAUUACCUGUUGUCAACCUCCUCUUUUGGCCACCAGAUAUUCCAGGCCUCGAGGCAUCUCCAACUCGUGUAUCUGCACAGAUAUCGAGUCCCAGGAUCUGAAAGAUUGAUUCGUGAGAUCAUGUUAACUGUGGAAUAGGGAUAAAUGGUCAGAAACUUAAGUAAGCAGCAUACCUUUAAGAUAUAGUCAGUUUGCAUAUUGUUUUUCAAACCUAUAACAGAUAUUGCCUGUCACAGUAAAGAUAAAAGAGCAAAUUGAGAUCUCUUUACGUUUUCAAAGUGUUUCAAGAAGAAUUGCAAUCUUUCAUUAGAUACCUUCAUGUAAGCAUCUAUAUCAGGAUCUGGAACAAUUUCUCGGACUUUCUCCCUUCUACUGAUCUCCUUCAUAAUUUCUGUUGAAUCAACCAUGGCUUGUUAAUGUAAAAACUGAGUCCAGCGAAUUAGGAAAAAUAUUAGAAAUUUGGUCCACACCCAUUCGGCUUCCGAUGCCCUGGCAACACGCAGAGAAGUCGAGCGUCUCUCUCACACUCAUCUCUGGAAUAUGCAGAUCGUUUUGACUUAUAUAACUCGACGUUUUCUCUGGAAUAAACUCUGAAAGUAAGCAACCAUUGUAACUUACUUCUCCUCCAACCUGUAAAGUGAAGACAACCACUUGUGAUCUCUGAUAACACUAUAAGAGGUUUUGUUCAGAAGGCUUAUGCAUUUACUUCUUUAGUCACACCUUUACUGAAGGGGCAAGUCGUCCAGAAAGUGCCUGUAACAGAGUGGUUUUGCCACAACCAGGAGGACCGAGCAACAAUGUCAUUCUGAGAGCAAGACCAAUCCAUCUUUUAACUCGGUGAUAAAAAUAUUUUUACAGGAAAAGAAGCACUACACAAGAUAGCCAAUCACCCUUCAUUUCUUAUUCCUUGCAACAUAAGUUAUUAGGAAACUGCCUCUUGAAUAAAUUUACCUUCCAGGCCUUACGAUACCGCUCAAGCCUUUUAAGAUGCUUAUCUUGGUUUCUUUCUUUGAACAGAUGAACUCCUGUAAACAACCAUCAAGUGUUUUUGAAUUAGCCACACAGAGAAACAACCUUCCGUAAAGAACAUGGAAACGGCAACAGCCCUCCAUUUCCAGAUCGAUGUAGCAAACACAUUUAAUGUUACUUACAGAUAGUAUGCCUUUGACACUAUUCCAAAGAGUGGGGAUAGGCUUUCCAUGAACUACCUCACAUUCCGCUUCAACAGAAAGGUCACUGAACCUCACUUCCACCGUUGGUAACUCUAUACCAACCCUACAGGUACAACGGAUUAAAAGGUUGUGAUAAAAACACAUUAACAUAAACAGAUAACUAUAACAUGGCUUACUCAUCGAUUCUCUUCCUUAUCUUUCUGAGUAAAUGGAGGUUAUCAGCCUGGAUUUGUUUGACAAGCUUUUCAAUCAGCAAAUGUCUCUCAGCAGCCUCAAGUUUAGUAACAUCAAUGACUCUCCCUUUAUCCGAAGAUUCAUCUCUUCUCUGAAACAGAGCAGUAGUAAUCCUUUUAUACGUAGGUUAUACGUAGGUAAUCUCUCAACUGUAGCCCACUGCGACCGAAGCUCCUCCUUGUCAUCGCCAGAAGCAAACUCAGCUUGUAAAGACUGUGCCUUUUCAUCAUCAUCUGCACCUGUUUGAGCCAUUGUCAAGUAAAAGAUACUUAAAAAACAAGGACAAGCAAAUUUCAGGAUGAAGAAGAAGCUGCUAAUAGUCAAAAUCUUUGAAUAUAUAUAUAACUUUAACAAAACUCACGUAUACAUUACUCGAGCUGCACGUGUGAAUACGUGAUCUCAUCCAUAGAAUCCGGUCUUGUACAGAGAAAUAAAAAACUGCACAAAAGAAAUGAAUAAACUAAUAAAAGUCUGCUAAGCGUUGAAAACUCUGAUUAAAAGUAAAGAAAAUGGAAUCAAAAUAAGAUCUUUUCACCAAUAGUCAACUCAUUAAUAGUGUGCGAACAGAUUCAGGGUAUUCAUACUUCCAUACAGCUCACUGGGUUUCUCUGAGGCAUUCCAUCGAACACAUUGCCCACGUUUGUUUGAAUCAAUGAUACGACUUAGUAGGAAACUUCUAUUUCCCAAGAUUUCUUCAAAGUAAUAGUUUUUGCUGAUCGAGUCGAAUCAAAUCUGCUGUCAGAGACACGAAUUGAAGAUGAGUGAAAACAAAAAAGAAAACACAUGCAAAUUUCUUUAACAUCACGUCCUCUCUACAGAGAUCAUCAUUAUUACAAAAUAAUUAAGGUUCAUGUCAGAGAUUAAUGAGAUAGGUUUUAAUUGUAAUUCAACGAGAGAAACUAUUACCUUGCAUUGCAAGGAACAGUUGAAUCAUUGGCCAACGCCCUCUGUUAUUCCCCAGACCCUGACAUUAUCAAUAUUCGUGAUGCCUACAUUAACUUUACAACUGAUUUCUUUUGUUUUUUUUUCUCUUGAAAACAUGAAAUUUUCUUUUAGUGCUUGCUACCUUUUAUACACAAGUCCAAUUAGAAGAGCUCUAAGCUUGAAAUGAAAAAAAAAAAAAAUCUAGUNNNNNNNNNNNNNNNNNNNNNNNNNNNNNNNNNNNNNNNNNNNNNAUUAGAAGAGCUCUAAGCUUGAAAUGAAAAAAAAAAAAAAAUCUAGCUUAUUUAGCAGAUCUAGCAAAACAAAAUUGGUUCAAGCGGUAUAAAGUUGGCAGCUCAAAUACUCUCCCAAUUUUUUCUUUUUUACUAGUAUUACCUCCUGUGCUUUCGCACAGGUCAAUCAUUUUUACUAUUCCAAAAAUUUUGAUCAUAAAACUAUAAUGAUUAUCAUCAUAUCAAAAUAAAUUACUAUUUUAAUCCCAUAUUUUUUUUUUUCAAAUCAAAGUCACCUAAACUUGCACAUUGUAUAAAAAUAUAGAUUUCACAUUUGCACAUAAACUUAGCACAAUUUAUAAAAGUACAGAUUUCAUAGAACAUGUUUAAUAUCAAAUGUAUGUUAACUGUGAUUAAAAUCUCUAAAAUGAAUAUACCUGCACACACGUUUUCAUAUCCAUUUUAUAUAUAUCUGCAAAAAAUUUCAUAGGUAGAUUAGUAGAGUUAACAAACUUUAAAAUAGUUUAUACAUAAAUACUUAGUACUCCCUACCGAGCUUCACAUAUAUGACAUAAUAGAAAUAGGAAUAUGUUCUCCCUACCGAGCUUCACAUAUAUGACAUAAUAGAAUUUAGAGAAAAUUACUAGAAUGUUACACAUUUUAUGGUUUAUUACUAGAAUGUUGUAUAUCUUUGUUUUAUUACUAGAAUGUUUUCUCUUUCCUAGUAAUUUACAAUAAGGGGCUUUUGUUAUGUUUUAUUUUCUGAAACUAAUUUUAAAGAUCAAAGCCACAUCAGUUAUUUAAAAUCCACAUCACAUCAGUUAUUUUUUGAAACCAAACCGUCUCUAUCACUAUCACUAUCACUAUCAUACAUACGGUUUUGUAAAAAAAAAAGAAAAGAAAAGAACACGAAGAACUGUGUUGUGUCGAAGAAGGAACCGCAAACCGAAAUCGUCUCACCCUUCGAAACCCUCGUCGACAUUGUUCUUUACUUCUUCGAACUCUCUCUAACUCUCUGUCGUUGAACUCUCUAUAACUCUCUGUCGUUGAACUCUGUCUCGUCGGAGUUUUUAGAAACCGUCGUCUGUACGAAAUCGCCUUCACCGCAUUCUCAUCAACGAGUUCAUCUUUUCCGGUAAGAUGUCGCGACGUUAUAUAUUGUAUUUUGGUUGAGUUUGUGGGUCAGUUAUAUAUUGAGGCUGUGAUAUGGGUGUGUCGAGGUUUUUGUUGCGACUGAGUUAGGGUUAUGUUGACUGUGCUAUGGGUUUGUCGAGGAUUUUGUUGUGUCUGAGUUAGGAUUAUGUUGCGGCUGAGAUAUGUGAUUGUCUAGGCUUUUGUUGUGUCUGAAUUAGGGCUUUUUGUUGUGGCUGAGUUAUGGUUAUGUUAUAACUGAGUAAUUAUUAUGUUAUGGCUGAGUUAUGGUUAUGUUAUAACUGAGUAAUUAUUAUGUUAUGGCUGAGUUAUAUAUAUGACCUAAUAUAUUUUAAUAUUAUGAUAUGGCUGUGUUAUUUUUAUGUUGUGGCUGAUUUAUUGUUGUGUUAUAUGAUCAGAUGGAUGUUAGUCAAGUCGAACCACGUGAUUACCCUCCAAGACUUUACCCUUCUAACCUAGAAGGUAAAGAUAUCAAUCAUAAUUUCCGUGCAGGAUAUUUCCCCCACAUUAAAGAAACAGUAGGACUCGAUGUGUGGGAAGAACUGGUGAACUCUCCCAUUGGAGUAGUUGCUAGGCUACUUUCACGCGAAAGCAUUUGGUCUGGUAGGACCGUACACUAUCUGCUAUGUAGACAGCUGCGAGUGCAUAAAAAGGAGAUAUGGUCUGUUGUGGUUGAUGAUGUUAUCAAAGGACCGUACACUAUCUGCUAUGUAGACAGCUGCGAGUGCAUAAAAAGGAGAUAUGGUCUGUUGUGGCUGAUGAUGUUAUCAGGUUUAGCUUGCUCGAGUUUGGUGAGAUCACUGGGUUAAACACAGGUCCAUUGCCAACAGAAAGUUUUGAACCUGAUCAAUACAAAGAGUUUUGGGAGGAGUUGAAGGUGCCGCUUGGGAUGGGACCCAAGUAUGAUGAGCUGAAGGCAGCAUUAGAGUUCUGUCCUGGUUGGAGUUUUGAAAAGCGUAAGUGGUUGGGGAUGUUAUUUCUUCAAGCCAUGGGACUGUACUGUUUGCAUCACAAUUCAAGGAUACCCUUUCAAAGUGCAAUAAGGGUAUUCGACGAUGAAGCCAUGAGGUCGUAUCCAUGGGGUCGGACUGCAUACGAAGUUCUUGUUGACUCUCUGAAAACACUGUCUCCAGAUGGAAAGUCAUACACAGUAAGCGGCAUGAAGGAUGGGGUCGGACUGCAUUCGAAGUUCUUGUUGACUCUCUGAAAACACUGUCUCCAGAUGGAAAGUCAUACACAGUAAGCGGCAUGAAGGACGUUUUAUUGGUUUGGGCGUAUGAGUCCAUCGUCUGUUUCGGUGAGAAGUUUGGGAGAGUGGUCAACAAUGAAGACGUUCCUCUUUUGCGAUGGGGUGGAAGGCGUACACGUUCAAGUUUUGAUACUGUCUUGUCUGACGAAAUCAAAGAUCAUGGCGAGGUAAUGUUUAACUGCUACUUAUACGACUGAGUUAACAGCUACUUAAUGGUUGAGUUUAUUUUAUAUUGUUGCCGAAUUAGUCUAUUUGAUGGCUGAGUUUAUUUUAUAUUGUGACCGAAUUAAUUUAUUUGAUGGCUUGGUUUUGUGUUAUUUGAUGGCUGAGUUUAUGAUAAACUGGUGUUACAGGUCCGUUUGAGGAGAAUGGUUAUGAAGGAGUCAAUUGAAGAGAUGUUUCCUGUAUGGUCGGAUGAACCUGACGACCCACAACUCGUUAGGUUGGUAGAAGACAUACACGCAGGUAGAUACGUGAAAGGUUUCUGGGAAGUACAGAGGGAUGAGCAGGGGAAGGGGAAUGAGAAGAAGAAGAAGAAGAAAACGAAGGGAGUUUCAUCAGAAGCUGAGCCAUCAACAAAGAAGCAGAAGAAAGAAGCUGCUGAAACGAGAAAGGGUUCUAGCGAGGAGGAAGCUGUAUUGGACAAAGCGACUCUGACGAAUCUUGUGAGUGCUCUGCAGAAUAUUUCAGCAAAAUUUGACGCUUACGAUUUUGACCGGAACCGGCCAGUGAUGGACGAGAAGACCCUAGAUAACGUGGUGAAAGCUGUAGUGCAGCAGAGUCUGAAAGUUUUGGGGGAAAGGAAAAUUCCCGACAACGAUGCUAAACUCUCCUCCGCCGGCGUAGAAAAAUCUUUAUCGGUGACAUCAUCACCUCGUAGGAGGUCGCCACCGGAAAAGUCGGACAAAAGUCCAGUGGUAGAACCGCAGGCCCAGGAGGAGAAGUCUGUAAAAACUCCAGUGACAGAACCGCGGCAGCAGAAAAAGCCUGUCAAAAGUCCAGAGCCGCCGCAGCAGAAAGAGAAGGCUGUCAAAAGUCCAGUGCCGCCGCAGCGGAAGGAGAAGGCUGUCAAAAGUCCGGUGCCGGCGCAGCAGAAACAGCAGAAGUCAGUCAAAAGUCCAGCGUUAGCUGAGACCCUUGCAAAGAAGAAUGCGGAGCUUGAGAAGGAUACAGUGGUGAGAAGGAUUUUGGGUGAUGAUUUUAAUGAAACUGAUUUCAUCAGUGUUUCUCCUGCAAAGAUUACUAAGGAUGCUAAGGAUGGUAAGGAUGCCAACGUUCCAGCCUAUGGACGCGGCUUACGGGGCAAGGCCAAGCGUACUGUUACUGUAAAGGAUGAGGCUAUCGAGGAUAAGAAAAAAGCACAGCGGGCAGAGGCUGCGUUGAAGAGGAAGGAGAAGCAAGAGGCUAAGAAAAAAGAGAACGAGGAGAAGAAACAGAAGAGAAAAUCGGCUGAGUUACAAAAGAAACAAGAGGCUGGGUUACAGAAGAAAAAGAAGGAAGACGAGGCUGAGUUGCAGAAAAAAAAGAAGGAAAAAGAGGCUGAGUUACCGAAGAAGAAGAAAGAAGAAGAGGAAUGUGUUGUGACGAACGACGAAGUUAUUGCGGAAGAUAACGCAUUGGCGCCGGAGUCUGAUGUCGAGCCAGCUGAAUUGAUUAGAUCUUCCGUGGUAAAGGAACUUCGGGAGAAAUCAGUUAAGUUAUCUCCACAAGGGUUUUCAUUGACGAACCUUGAUUCAGCACCAGUUUUUCCGUACAUUGGAGACAAUGGACAGACGACUUGCAUGAGGAAGAACAUUACGCCUUCAUCAGCAAUAUACGACCCUUGCGCACCUGUUGAUCCGGCGCGACUGGAAAAACUGAAGCAACACAUUAAGGCAAUUCCACCCAAACCACCAGCACCUAAAGAUAAACCAGAAGAACCCUCAGCUGAUCAUGAGAGUGACUUCUACAGCAUACUCAUGCAUGAAAGACCGUGGCCUGACAAAGAAUAUGGAUGGGUGUUUGAUAAUGUAAGUCUUUAUUAAGGCUGAAUUAUAUAUUCUAUAAAGGCUGACUUAUAUAUUUAAUUCAUUAUAUUACGGCUGACUUAUUAUUUUUCUUUGUCUAGCAUAUCGCUGCGUAUAUGAACGUCCUCAUACAAAGGUCCAUGCGAAAUCCCACUCUAUUCUGGUCCAAGCGGAUUGGUUUCGUAGACCCUUGGUUGUUAGGUUUUUGGGCUUACAAUUACAGGCAGUUCAGGAUGAACCCUGCUUCGUUCAAGUUCAAAGGCAGUGGUUAUGAAAAGUUGGUAAACAGGAGAUUACCCGAAGAAUUUACAACAAACUUGAAGUGGUAUGCAGAUGUGGAUCACGUGUACGGAUGUCUUCAAACCGGCGGUAAUCACUGGGUGGCGUUUCACGUGGAUCUGAUCAAGGAGAAGAUAGAUUGCUACGAUCCAAUCUAUGGAGAGUCAACACCCGAAAGUGAGCAAAAAAUGCUAAAUGCUUUUAGACCUCUACUGGAGAUGCUUCCCUGGAUGUUGAAUGAGCUUAUUCCUGCCGAUCUCCGAAAGCAUUCUAGGAAGAGGUUCGCAUUCAGACGGAGGAGCAAAAGAUACAUUCCACAAAACAACAUCAUAGGUGAUUGUGGGGUUUAUUCGUUGAAGUUUGUGGAGUGUCUAGCGCUUGGUGUAUGUUUUGAUGGCAUAAACGAUAGUAAUAUUCAAGGGUUACGGGUGAAGAUGGCAGCAGAUAUCCUCGAGGAAGGAGGAAAUCUUGGAAUGAACAAGUUGUUGUCAAAAUGAAACUGUGUUUGUUUGUGAACCUGUGUUUGUUGUUAUGUUAACUAUUUGACUUUGGAUAACUGCUGUAAUAACUCAGUCAUAUCGAUUAGUAAUACUCAGCCAGUACUUAUUGAUAACUCAGUCAUACCUCAAACAUACCCUAGAAUCAAAAUAAUUAAUAAUUUUCCAUUCGAAUGUUAUAUAUAAAGUCCAAUUAUCAAAAUAAUUAAUAAUAACUCAAUGUGUGAAUAUGAUCUUUGUUGACUAUACGAGUUUGGAAUCGAUCAUAAUCUUGAGGUAUAUGUUGUCUCUUACGAGUACCUAAAACUCUAGGCAGUGAUAUGAGGUGUGAGCAUGAUUCAAAACACGUAAACUGUUAUUGUGUUAUUUAUUAUGAAUUUGUGAUAUUUAUCAUAUCUUGUGGUUCGUACAUCAUAAAUCAUAACCCUAAACAAUCUUAUUCGGAACCCAAACCCUAAAUAACUAAACCCUAUACCCUAAACGGCAAACAACAAAUCAGCCGUAAAGGUCUUAAUAACUCAGUCUGUUAGUGUAAGUUAAUAUUUACAUAUGGCGCGUAAAUUUUAGAUAUUUUAUCUCGCGACCUUUAAUGUUCUAUACUUCCCCUAUAUAUAGCCCCCUUCUCUUGCACUUUCUCGCCUUAUCUCACUAGAAAACCUAAACAAUAUCUCUAUAUCGCCUUACAAAGUUAUGAUUGUUCCUGGUUAUUCAGAAAGGUUAGAGAACAGAGUCAAUGAGAUACUAAACUCUGAAAAUCGUGAAAACCUUCCCGUUCUAUACCCUGGCCCGGGUUUCUUGCUUGACAGCGUAAUCUGGUUUAAAUUUCUAAGCGAUCUCUCCCUGGCCAUCCCGUCGAUUUUAGCAGAAGGAUGGGUUCAUGAUUGGCCGACAUGGCGCGCCAUUCCCGAUCAUUUUAAGGAACGCUGGUUUCUUCAUCUCGCUGUAAGGACAACAUGUUUGAAUUGUUUUUGAUAUUAGACAUAAUAACAGCACUUACAUUUGGAAAUUGGUUUUUUGUUGUAGCGCAAACGCACGUGGGCACGAAGAUAUAAUUUUCAAGUUUGGACAAAUUUUAAUCUGGUGGCCAGAACGGUGUUUCGUUGUCAGAUGCGCCUCUUGAAGAGGAGGUGGGCACAUGGGGGUGAGAAGCCUGCGUGGAUGCUAACUAGAGUUUGGCGUGAUCUUGUCCACAUGUUUGAAGAAUUUGGUCCUGAUAAUUUUGGUUUUAGUAAUUGAUUUGUUGUUUUUGUUUGUAUUCAGCCGUCAAGUUUUUGUAAAGUUGUUUAACUCAGCCGUUAAGUUUCUAUAAAGUUGUUUAACUCAGCCAUUAAGUUUCUAUUAAGUUGUUUAACUCAGCCGUUUAGUUUCUAUAAAGUUGUUUAACUCAGCCGUUAAGGUUUUAUAAAGUUGUUUAACUCAGCCGGAAUUGUUUGCGUCAAACGUCAGUGUUUCAGUUAAGUAACUCAGCCGUAAUACGAAUUAAGAUACUAAUAACUCAGCCUUAUAUUGUAAAAAUACAAAGCCAAAGUUAACGCUAUUUUCCAUGUAUUAUUAUAGCCGCCAUUACUUAAUCGAGACCAGUAUUAGAGUCCUUUAUUCUCUUAUUAUUAUACGUGCGAGAAAUUCCAUCGUCAUUGAGAAUAUCGAGACUCAUUAUUAUGGCCGUCAUUACAUUAUCGAGCCCUACGCAUCUCUGCUAACGCCUUCAUCGACCUGGACGAUGCUCUGAGGCGGUAGAGAUCUUGGAAGGAGUUACGGGCCACACGCUCAACCACCAUUGCCUGAAGAUCUUCAGGCAAUUCAAGCAGAGGGAAAUAUUCCAUUUUCUCUGAGAGGACAGUUGUGUAAAAGAUAGAGAGUUGAAGAUGUGUAAUUGUUUGAGAAGUACCUUAUUUAUCUGCAGUUAACGGUUGUAGUUUCGUAUCGCGGCGUUUCUUAUUUCUUAUUUUGAGCGGGAAUUUAAUCCAUAACUCAGCCGUGUAUUACAAUAACUCAGCCUUAAUUGACUUCGCGACGUUUCGUGUUUCUAGCGGGGAAGUUUUUUUCAACUGCGUUUGAAUAAAAGAGCUGACAUUAGAAAUCACGACAAUUAUUAGGCGUGUGAGUAACAUUAUCUCAGCCAAUGAAGAUUAAUUUCUCUUAAUUUAAUUCGCUACUUUCGUAUUCCACUUUAUAAUCAAUAAUUACGUAGGGGCUAUUACGUAACGUAGGGCAAUUAAGUACGGACAUUUCGUUUUUCGAUGUCUGUGUCUCUCUUGAGUAAUGGGAAGCGGGCAAAUCAAUGAAAAUAAAAACCCAACCACAAUACAAAAAACCCCAGCCGUUACAAAUAAUAAACCAGCCGUUGUGCAAAUCAAUGAAAAUAAAACCCAGCCGUAUUACAACACAAAACCCAGCCGUAUUACAACACAAAACCCAGCCGUAUUUCAAAACAACAUGAAAAGCAAUUGCUUAUGUCGGACAAGUUCUCGCAUUAUGUCCACUUUGACUGCAACGAGAACAUAUGUGCUCUUUCCUAGGACGUUUGUUUGCAAGUGCAACUUCUAAAGCAGAUUUCAUCCUAUUUUUUUUAGGUCUUCCCGGUUGUUGACGAAUAAACGGUGGAAAGCACUGUACGUUAGCCACGUUAUCUGGAACAGGUAGCGCUGAAUCAACCGGCAUGACCGAUUCAGCGUAUGCGCUAGCUAAAUAAGUGCUUUUAUAGUAAGGACUGCACAGUGAUAUUCGAGAAACAUUUCUUUCCUCUGCAGCUGCGAUUGCGUGUACACAUGGUAUUUUCUCGACAUCGAAACGCCGACAUGUGCACUUUCGCUCAACCAAAUUAACAACAUUCAAAGACUCGCCAGCAGCGCCAUAUUUAACUUCAGUGUGAUGGUCAUCAAUCCUUUGAACCGUCCAAUCCCGGGAGGCACUUACACGUCCCUAUUAACAAAACCCAAUAUUCGUGAAACGGCUUACUUAUUAUUUAUAAAGCUGGCUUAUGCAAUAUAACGACUGACUUAUUAGAUUUAAAGACUGACUUAUUUUACUGUUACGACUGACUUACUUGUAAUAGUUUCUCCACACCGCGCGUGAGUGUGGUUGACUGCGAUCUGGCAUCCACUCUUCGUUCAGCAAACCAUCUGGUCAUCAUAACCCGUAUCGAUUCCAAUAUUCGAACAAUGUUAAGACCUCUAGCAUGCGAUAAUGCUCUGUUCAUUGAUUCCGCUAUGUUCGUAGUCAUCAAAUUGUACCUCUCGCCCGGGAAAUAAACACGUGUCCACAGUCUGACAUCAGCUCUUUCGAGGUAGCCGUGGAGAUCAGGAUUAAGUGCUUCAAUCUCCUCGAAAAUCAUAUCAAAGUCAGACAUUCUAAAACAUCUCGCCGCUUUCUUCACCAGCCGAAAUACAUCUUUUCCUUUGUACCGUCCCAAUAUGUUUUUAUACAAAUGAUAGGUGCAUAUUCCACGAGCAGCUAACGGAUACACAUUUGUAAUUGCUUUCCCUAUCGAGUUAUGCCUAUCUGAUAUUAUCGCAAGACCCUCCUGGUCAGGAAUCAACACUUUUAGUUGCGUAAAAAACCAAUUCCACGAAUCAUCAUUUUCAGUGUCAACCACUGCGAAGGCUAUUGGAAAAAUCUGAAAGUUACCAUCCUGAGCUAGUGCUGUGAGUAGCGUCCCUUUAUAUUUACCAUUAAGAAACGUACCGUCGACGACAACAACUUUGCGCAUGAAAGGAAACCCAUUAACGCUCGCACCAAACGCAAGAAACACAUACAUGAAUCUUCCAAGCUCAUCGAUUUGAAGACGCGUAACUGUAUUCGGAUUUGCCCUUCUUAUCAUGUAUAAGUAAGAAGGCAAGAGUUCAAAACCACACUCAGGUGUGCCCUCAUCGAUUUCCCUUGCACAUUUAAGCGUCCGGUGUGAUUUCCAAUAUUCCAUCUGCUCACAUGAAAAAACAAUUUACAUAACUCAGCCACAUCAUAUCAUUAAGACGGUCACAACGUAAACAUAACUCAACCAUAGUUUUGUAACUCAGCCAUUUCUAACAUAAAAUAACCCAGCCUAUACUCUACCAUAACUCAGCCGUUGUAACAUAAUUACCUUUACACCAAACUGCUUAGUGAUAGCUAUUCCGACACUCUCAGGGCGAACGGCCGGACCAACGUCGCCGAGAAAGUUCUUGUACAACUCUCCUAAAAUAUCCGGUGUUGCAUUUCGAGAUCGAUUAGAACGCUCAGUUACAGAACAUGCAUGAUCCGAGUCGUAAAUACGAAUAUAAAACUGCGGGGACAAUCCUUCGGUAGAUGCACGAACUCUCCAUGUACAUCCAUCAACCCAACACUUAACAACGUAUGUUGUCAGGUUUGAUAUUUCUACAUCAAAAUCAAAUUGAUGCCUCACUGUAAAAAGUUUCAGUCGUCUCUUCAAAUGCUUUUUAGUCAAGUAUCGUUGUCCUACCGCAAGGUCUAACGACGACAUCUCCAACUUCAAAACCUCCAGAUUCCCUUUAGAUUCGCUCAUCAAGAAGUUCUGAUAUCUCUUCUUGGAAGGUAGCGUUGGUGAAUCUUCGUCUUCUUCGAUAGGAGACUCACCGUAUGUGCUGAAGUUAUCAUCUUCAGAUGACGCACCGUCCGAGUCAUCGAACAUAUCAAAUCGACUUUCAAAUUCAUCAUCUUCUUCGUUUUCUUUGCCUAUUUCAUCUUCUCCGGCUACGUCGUGUAUUUCAACGUUACUAAAGCAGUCAUUCUCAAUUUCAUCUUGUUCAUCCUCCAAACUGCAACCAUCGUAACUCCCAUUCUCUAUAGACUCAACUUCUAAAGCUUCUUCUUCUAAAGCUUCUUCUUCUGAAGCGUCUUCUUCUGAAGCUUCUUCUUCUGAAGCUUCUUCUUCUGAAGCUUCUACGUCUGAGCUGUCAUCCUUUUUCUCUGUAAUCUCCACACAGAGACGUAGUUGUUCGCUUUUCUUUAAGCUUAGAAAACAUUGCAAUUGUCGAGUGUUGGACACGUAAACUGGUGGAGUGUUGUGCGCCAUUGUUUUCAAUGUUUUAUUCGAAAACAUGUAGCUAAGCAGAAUAUGAACCUUCAAAUCAUUCAAACCGUAAUCGUCGAUGACAGACUUUGUGAAAUCUUCAAGUUUAGUUUUCUCACCUAAAUGAAGAACUCUACACCCUCUACUGUCGACGUUGAAUACAUAUCGUUUUUUCAUAAUCCAUUUACCGGAAACAAUAAUAACGGGAUCCAUUACCAUAUGAGAAAGAUGAAGAGGAUAGAUAACUGAGAUGAUGAAGAAGAAAAGAAAGGCUGUGUAAUCAUUCAAAAAUAAGAUGAAGAAGACAACUGAAAGGUCUCGUAACUCAGUUGUAAAUUGGGCGACCGUUAGUGAUGACAUGUCAAAUCCGAGUUGAUGACAUGGCAGAUGACAUGGAACAUCGGUUAAUCAGCCGACAAACAAAUCAGUAACUCAGCCAAAAUAAGUCAGCCAUCAUGUUUACACUUUGUCAGCCGAUACAUGGAAACAUUCUAGUAAUUAAUCUUUUGACGGUAAGUCAGCCGCAAUAAGGAUGAACAACCAUAUGUCAGCCGUAUCGUUACGUAAAUCAGCCAUCAAACGAGAACAUUCUAGUAAUUAAUCUUUCGCUCAUACGUCAGCCGCAAAGCAGCUGAGUUUACUGUUUAUCCAUGCUUUAACGGCUGACUAAUACAAACCCAGUCGUAACAGCAUCCCAUAACUCAGCCGUGGCUUCAAUAACCCAGCCCAUCCAUGUUCCUUUACUCAGCUGAAAAAAAGUUUCUCAGCCGUUUCUUAACCACGACUCAGCCAAAUUUUCCAGAAAUCAAACCGCCGAUGUAUAAGUCAGCCGUCAUUUGUAUCAUUAAGUCAGCCGUGGUCACAUAACUCAGCCGGAUUUCUGUAAAUCAGUUGUAUCGGCAAGCUGACUUAUAGUUCUAAGUCAGCCACUUUCACUUAAGUCAGUCGUAUGUAUUAAGUCAGCCGUAACGUAAAGAUAAAUCGGCCGUAACUACGUAUCUAUCGCUUAACAGCUGACUUAAUGAAAAUACGGACGCGAAUUCCUCCGUGGCGCCGGUUUUUUGCCUACGUGGCAGCGAAAAGUAAUGGCAUUCUCGUAAAUACGUUUUUUCUCAUAACGUAAAAAAAGGGUACGCUUGGUAUCGAAAAUAUUCUAGUAAUAAAAAAAGAUCUGUAUCAUUCUAGUCAAUACACCUAAAAUAUGUAACAUUCUAGUAAACUUCCCAAAANNNNNNNNNNNNNNNNNNNNNNNNNNNNNNNNNNNNNNNNNNNNNNNNNNNNNNNNNNNNNNNNNNNNNNNNNNNNNNNNNNNNNNNNNNNNNNNNNNNNNNNNNNNNNNNNNNNNNNNNNNNNNNNNNNNNNNNNNNNNNNNNNNNNNNNNNNNNNNNNNNNNNNNNNNNNNNNNNNNNNNNNNNNNNNNNNNNNNNNNNNNNNNNNNNNNNNNNNNNNNNNNNNNNNNNNNNNNNNNNNNNNNNNNNNNNNNNNNNNNNNNNNNNNNNNNNNNNNNNNNNNNNNNNNNNNNNNNNNNNNNNNNNNNNNNNNNNNNNNNNNNNNNNNNNNNNNNNNNNNNNNNNNNNNNNNNNNNNNNNNNNNNNNNNNNNNNNNNNNNNNNNNNNNNNNNNNNNNNNNNNNNNNNNNNNNNNNNNNNNNNNNNNNNNNNNNNNNNNNNNNNNNNNNNNNNNNNNNNNNNNNNNNNNNNNNNNNNNNNNNNNNNNNNNNNNNNNNNNNNNNNNNNNNNNNNNNNNNNNNNNNNNNNNNNNNNNNNNNNNNNNNNNNNNNNNNNNNNNNNNNNNNNNNNNNNNNNNNNNNNNNNNNNNNNNNNNNNNNNNNNNNNNNNNNNNNNNNNNNNNNNNNNNNNNNNNNNNNNNNNNNNNNNNNNNNNNNNNNNNNNNNNNNNNNNNNNNNNNNNNNNNNNNNNNNNNNNNNNNNNNNNNNNNNNNNNNNNNNNNNNNNNNNNNNNNNNNNNNNNNNNNNNNNNNNNNNNNNNNNNNNNNNNNNNNNNNNNNNNNNNNNNNNNNNNNNNNNNNNNNNNNNNNNNNNNNNNNNNNNNNNNNNNNNNNNNNNNNNNNNNNNNNNNNNNNNNNNNNNNNNNNNNNNNNNNNNNNNNNNNNNNNNNNNNNNNNNNNNNNNNNNNNNNNNNNNNNNNNNNNNNNNNNNNNNNNNNNNNNNNNNNNNNNNNNNNNNNNNNNNNNNNNNNNNNNNNNNNNNNNNNNNNNNNNNNNNNNNNNNNNNNNNNNNNNNNNNNNNNNNNNNNNNNNNNNNNNNNNNNNNNNNNNNNNNNNNNNNNNNNNNNNNNNNNNNNNNNNNNNNNNNNNNNNNNNNNNNNNNNNNNNNNNNNNNNNNNNNNNNNNNNNNNNNNNNNNNNNNNNNNNNNNNNNNNNNNNNNNNNNNNNNNNNNNNNNNNNNNNNNNNNNNNNNNNNNNNNNNNNNNNNNNNNNNNNNNNNNNNNNNNNNNNNNNNNNNNNNNNNNNNNNNNNNNNNNNNNNNNNNNNNNNNNNNNNNNNNNNNNNNNNNNNNNNNNNNNNNNNNNNNNNNNNNNNNNNNNNNNNNNNNNNNNNNNNNNNNNNNNNNNNNNNNNNNNNNNNNNNNNNNNNNNNNNNNNNNNNNNNNNNNNNNNNNNNNNNNNNNNNNNNNNNNNNNNNNNNNNNNNNNNNNNNNNNNNNNNNNNNNNNNNNNNNNNNNNNNNNNNNNNNNNNNNNNNNNNNNNNNNNNNNNNNNNNNNNNNNNNNNNNNNNNNNNNNNNNNNNNNNNNNNNNNNNNNNNNNNNNNNNNNNNNNNNNNNNNNNNNNNNNNNNNNNNNNNNNNNNNNNNNNNNNNNNNNNNNNNNNNNNNNNNNNNNNNNNNNNNNNNNNNNNNNNNNNNNNNNNNNNNNNNNNNNNNNNNNNNNNNNNNNNNNNNNNNNNNNNNNNNNNNNNNNNNNNNNNNNNNNNNNNNNNNNNNNNNNNNNNNNNNNNNNNNNNNNNNNNNNNNNNNNNNNNNNNNNNNNNNNNNNNNNNNNNNNNNNNNNNNNNNNNNNNNNNNNNNNNNNNNNNNNNNNNNNNNNNNNNNNNNNNNNNNNNNNNNNNNNNNNNNNNNNNNNNNNNNNNNNNNNNNNNNNNNNNNNNNNNNNNNNNNNNNNNNNNNNNNNNNNNNNNNNNNNNNNNNNNNNNNNNNNNNNNNNNNNNNNNNNNNNNNNNNNNNNNNNNNNNNNNNNNNNNNNNNNNNNNNNNNNNNNNNNNNNNNNNNNNNNNNNNNNNNNNNNNNNNNNNNNNNNNNNNNNNNNNNNNNNNNNNNNNNNNNNNNNNNNNNNNNNNNNNNNNNNNNNNNNNNNNNNNNNNNNNNNNNNNNNNNNNNNNNNNNNNNNNNNNNNNNNNNNNNNNNNNNNNNNNNNNNNNNNNNNNNNNNNNNNNNNNNNNNNNNNNNNNNNNNNNNNNNNNNNNNNNNNNNNNNNNNNNNNNNNNNNNNNNNNNNNNNNNNNNNNNNNNNNNNNNNNNNNNNNNNNNNNNNNNNNNNNNNNNNNNNNNNNNNNNNNNNNNNNNNNNNNNNNNNNNNNNNNNNNNNNNNNNNNNNNNNNNNNNNNNNNNNNNNNNNNNNNNNNNNNNNNNNNNNNNNNNNNNNNNNNNNNNNNNNNNNNNNNNNNNNNNNNNNNNNNNNNNNNNNNNNNNNNNNNNNNNNNNNNNNNNNNNNNNNNNNNNNNNNNNNNNNNNNNNNNNNNNNNNNNNNNNNNNNNNNNNNNNNNNNNNNNNNNNNNNNNNNNNNNNNNNNNNNNNNNNNNNNNNNNNNNNNNNNNNNNNNNNNNNNNNNNNNNNNNNNNNNNNNNNNNNNNNNNNNNNNNNNNNNNNNNNNNNNNNNNNNNNNNNNNNNNNNNNNNNNNNNNNNNNNNNNNNNNNNNNNNNNNNNNNNNNNNNNNNNNNNNNNNNNNNNNNNNNNNNNNNNNNNNNNNNNNNNNNNNNNNNNNNNNNNNNNNNNNNNNNNNNNNNNNNNNNNNNNNNNNNNNNNNNNNNNNNNNNNNNNNNNNNNNNNNNNNNNNNNNNNNNNNNNNNNNNNNNNNNNNNNNNNNNNNNNNNNNNNNNNNNNNNNNNNNNNNNNNNNNNNNNNNNNNNNNNNNNNNNNNNNNNNNNNNNNNNNNNNNNNNNNNNNNNNNNNNNNNNNNNNNNNNNNNNNNNNNNNNNNNNNNNNNNNAUGUAUUAUUAUGGCCGCCAUUACUUAAUCGAGACCAGUAUUAGAGUCCUUUAUUCUCUUAUUAUUAUACGUGCGAGAAAUUCCAUCGUCAUUGAGAAUAUCGAGACUCAUUAUUAUGGCCGUCAUUACAUUAUCGAGACUACUAUUAUUAGAGACCUUUAUUCUCUUAUUAUUAUGUGCAUGAGAAAUUUCGUUUGCAUUGAGAAUAUCGAGACUCAUUAUUAUGGCCGUCAUUACAUUAUCGAGACUACUAUUAUUAGAGACCUUUAUUCUCUUAUUAUUAUGUGCAUGAGAAAUUUCGUUUGCAUUGAGAAUAUCGAGACUCAUUAUUAUACGGCUGGCACGCAUGUAUCGGAUUAUUUACAUAAUCGAGGUAUUGUUAUUUUUAAUGUAACUCAGUCAAUACGUCUACGUUAACUCAGCCAAAAUAUAGACGCUAACACAGCCGUAAUACGAAUUCAACUUAAGUGUUUGAUAAAAUAAUAAAGAACCUUUCGUAUUUCUUGAUUUGAUUGAGUUCUGUAAUAAUUAAAGUGCAUCAAGUGUGUGGAAAAAUACGGCUCAAACCUAAUAUCGAGGCAUUUAAUAGUUUAUUAAUUUAAAUUAUUCCUCUUUAUUUGAAUUUUAAAAAAAAAUGAUUUUAUAUUACUACCACUAUUGUUUUAACUUUGUCUUUCACACCAAUUUCUCUUUCAUUCAAAGAAAAUGUCUUCUUCAUCAUCUGUGUCUGGUAACACUUACUUUCACCGCCGGCAUGUGGAAAGAGGAACGCCGAAACAGUGUUGGUGUGGUGAACCCGCUGAAUUAUGUACAUCUGCAUCACGGGCUAAUCCAGGAAGACUGUACUAUUGCUGUCGCAAAGGAUAUAUUAAGGUUUGAUUUUUAAUUUUAUUCAUUAUACUGUCAAUGUGAUACUAAGAGCUGGGCAUGUUGGUGAAAUCAGAGACAUUUAUUCAAAUGGGCGGACGAGUGCUUGGUGGAAGAGGUAGAAGAUAUGAAAUCGGUGAUGAGUGACAUGACCAAAGGCAUAUCAGAUCUGAGAGUAGACGUUGGUCGGUUGGAGAAAGAACUCGGUAAAGCGGAAAAGAUGAAGUGUUUGAUGUUUCCAGUGGUGGUUUGUGGGUUUGGUAUGGCCAUAUUUUGGCACUAUUUCUUUGCGUAGUCAUGUGUUGUAAUCAUAAUUUAGACGCAAUGUUUUUAGUAACUCAGCUAUUACGUUCAAUGCAACUCAGCCAGUACGUUAAUUAAUUCAUAAUCAAACAAUAACCCAGCCAUAAUACGAGUAUUCGUCAGUCAUAACGUUUUAAUAACUCAGUUAUAACGUUCACUGCAAUUCAGCCGUUACGUUAAUUAAGUCACUAUCAAACAAUAACCCAGCCAUAAUAUGAGUAUUCGUCAGUCAUAAUGUUUUAAUAACUCAGUUAUAACGUUCACUGCAACUCAGCCGUUACGUUAAUUAAGUCAUAAUCAAACAAUAACCCAGCCAUUAUAUGAGUAUUCGUCAGUCAUAAUAAGAUAGUAACUCAGCUAUAACGUUCAGUGGAAGUCAGUCAUAAUCAAACAAUAACAUAAACAAUAACUCAACCAUAAUAUGAAUAUUAGUCAGCCAUAAAAAGAGACAUACAUAAAUUUCUGGUUCGACAUACAUAAGUUUAGGUUCAAAAUCACUCUUCCCUUUCCGGACAUACACACAUUAGUGGAGUAGUUUUCCCAUCUCCAACCACAUUGAACACAAAUAAGUCUCCUAUGGCGCAUCUGUUAGCACGACAGAACUUUCUCCAGCCUCUUCUGAUGUAAUACAUGCCGUCUGCUUCGCUAAAUCGCAAACUCACAGUCCAUGAAUUUCCCUCUUUGUUGACAAGUAUUAUCUCUUGGCAUUGUUUGUUCAAAGCAGUACAAGUCGUAGCUCCCUCAGGAAGAUACUGCAAACACAGAACGUAAAGACACAGAACAGAUCAAACCAUAUGUUAAUAACUAACUAAAUACUGCAAACACAGAACGUAAAGACACUGAACAGAUCAAACCAUAUGUUAAUAACUAACUAAAUAUGGUCUAUAACUGAAAAUCGACUCACAAGUUUGUCUUCUUUUAGAUUCGAAGCAGUGACCUCAGCCUGAAAACAAUAGUCAAAUGAGAAAGAAGGAGCAUCAUCCGCAUCGGCUUCUUCCUUGAUGAUGUGAGGAUGUGUAUACUGAAUCUCACAACAGCUAGGACCAAAUGGUGUGACAUGAAACACCAUAUCUCCUUCGUGUUUGAAGAUGACAAUGUCACCGAUUUGAAGGUCAUGUGCUGUGGUGAAAUCUUUCCAACCUCCGGUGAGUCUCCUGCCUUCUUGUAUCACUUCCCAAGUUUGAUCUGUAGCGUCCGAUCUUAGUUUUCAUGUUUUCCGGUUUGUUUUCCCUUCUAUGUGCUGUGAGAAGAAGCCAAGUGGUAUUGUCUGCAGGUCAGAAAAGCCAAAGUUAAGCAAACUCUAAAAUAGGAACAUAUACACAUGAGAAAUAGAGAGUGUGUGUCUACCACGCCACUGUGGAAAUCGGGAAGCAGAGGCUUCAAGAAAUGAGGUUUGUGCGAAUUAGGCAUCUGCAAACAAGAAAAGAAUGGGAAGAAAACAUCAUCGAACCUAAGCUGAAUCCACAAAUCUGCAAAAGAGAGGCUUCGGUUUUACCUUCGUAUCGAGACGCUUCGAAAUCGCCUGUCGUCGAGAGCUUUUCUUUUUUUUUUUCGCGUUGGGACGAAAAUGAUUUCUUUUUUUUUUCCUUGUGUAAAGUAAAUAAUGCCGGAAAAUAGAACUCAGCCGUAACAUUGUUAAUAAUUAAUAAUGCCGAAGAAUAAAACUCAGCCGUAACAUUGUUAAUAAUUAAUAAUGCCGAAAACUAAACCUCAGUCGUAAAAUUGUUAAUAUUUAAUGAUGUCGAAAAAUAAAAGUUGGCCAAAAGAGUCAUACAUAAUUUAACUCAGUGUCGAGUUAUGUCCUGACACGCAUGUCCGAGUAAUUUACGAUAUCGAGGUCAUUAUAUGUUUAUUUUAUUUGGACACGCGUGAUCUUUAUAUUUAAUAUGAUUUCCCUAUUAUAUUUCCAAUAUUUACAAGUAAAAGAUAAAGGAAAAACCAGAGUCGACUUCUAAAACCUAAAGUAAGUCUCUUUCGUCCAAAAUCGAUUUUGAAUUAUUUUUUGUAUUUUGGCCUUGUUCGAUUUUGCAUUAUUUUUUGUGUGCUAUGAUGUAUAAAUUAGAUGGAUCUACAGCGUGGAAUUCCAAGGACGUGCGACUGUGGAGCUGCUACCAUUGUGUUAACGUCAGGUACAAUAAAGAAUCCGGGUAGAAGAUUUUAUCGAUGUGGAGCAAAUUCGGGUCAAAACCAUGUUUUCAAAUGGCUUGAUGAAGCACAUGAUGAAGAGUUUGUAGUUGUGGCAAACAAACUCGCGACGAUAGAGCAGGAUUUGGCCGCUAUAAAAGCAGAAUUAGAUGAUAUGAAGAAAGACAUAACUGAGAUCAUAAAAAUUAUUGAAUGUCUUAGGAUGAAGUCUUAAAUGUAUUAGUUGCUACUACUACUUCUUUGUUUACUCAGAUUCUGUACUCAUAAGUUAGUCUAUGUUUAUGUAACUCAGAUUUAACUCAGCCGUUGUUAAUUUCUUCCGAAACAACAACUCAGCCGUAACAUGUAAUAAUAUCAGUCUUAACGUUUAGGUGAACAAUCAAAAAACAGUCAUAUUUCUAACAAUCAAAAAACAAUCAAAACUUAGGCAUUUAAUAAAGCCAUAAGAUGAAUAAAUGAGAAUAACUCAGCCAUAAGAUGAAAAUAAGUCAGCCAUAAGAUGAAAAUAACUCAGCCAUAAGAUGAAAAUAAGUCAGCCAUAAAAACAGAAUAUAUAAUUUUUUGUUCGACAUACAUAAUGGCAUAGCAAAAAACAUAAAAAAGAUAAGAUUCUGAUGCAGAGACAUCUUCACCACUUACUUGUGUCCCUAAACAGGCUUAUCGGUUCAAAAUCACGAAAGAACAAGGAAAUCUCUUUGAUCCAGAAACAGCGCUCACACAUGUUGUCGUCCUUAGUCACAUCAAUGUGCCAUAGGCAGAGACAUUGUCGGUCCACAACAUUUGCACAUUGGCAAAGGUAGAAGGACGGAACAUAAGUAGAAGUGAACAUGGCCUUAAUUUGACGGAACUCGUCAGUAUGCCACAAACCCCAUCCCCAUUUCGCAUCUCGAACAAGUUUCCCGACCCUGUCAACAGUUGCUCUUGGAAUUCUCCGAAAAUACUGCGCAUCACCGUAAAAGAUUGCUUGAGUCAUAGCGUGUGUAUACACUGCACGCUCAUAUCCUGCAUCUGCUGCACGCUUGAGGAGAGAAAGGCCAUAAUCUUGCUCAUCGUAUGAGUAGAAAAACUGUACACCCUUUACAUAAAUUGUGCUUGGAUUGUUCUCAGCGUAGCAAGUUUUCAACAACUGAGAUGGCAUAAUGAGACCCCAGGGAAAGGAUAACACAUCGAAAUAAUGGUAUACCCUACGCAUCUCUGCUAACGCCUUCAUCGACCUGGACGAUGCUCUGAGGCGGUAGAGAUCUUGGAAGGAGUUACGGGCCACACGUUCAACCACCAUUGCCUGAAGAUCUUCAGGCAAUUCAAGCAGAGGGAAAUAUUCCAUUUUCUCUGAGAGGACAGUUGUGUAAAAGAUAGAGAGUUGAAGAUGUGUAAUUGUUUGAGAAGUACCUUAUUUAUCUGCAGUUAACGGUUGUAGUUUCGUAUCGCGGCGUUUCUUAUUUCUUAUUUUGAGCGGGAAUUUAAUCCAUAACUCAGCCGUGUAUUACAAUAACUCAGCCUUAGUUGACUUCGCGACGUUUCGUGUUUCUAGCGGGGAAGUUUUUUUCAACUGCGUUUGAAUAAAAGAGCUGACAUUAGAAAUCACGACAAUUAUUAGGCGUGUGAGUAACAUUAUCUCAGCCAAUGAAGAUUAAUUUCUCUUAAUUUAAUUCGCUACUUUCGUAUUCCACUUUAAAAUCAAUAAUUACGUAGGGGCUAUUACGUAACGUAGGGCAAUUAAGUACGGACAUUUCGUUUUUCGAUGUCUGUGUCUCUCUUGAGUAAUGGGAAGCGGGCAAGUCCCCGAAAAUGCCAAUACAAGACUUGCUUAUAUUGGUCAAGUAAUAAUCCAGCCGUAGUGCAAAUCAAUGAAAAUAAAAACCCAACCACAAUACAAAAUUUGAAAAACAUUAACGCAGCCGUCAUAGAACAUUAAAACAAAAAAACCCAGCCGUAUUACAACACAAAACCCAGCCGUAUUACAACACAAAACCCAGCCGUAUUACAAUUAAUAAUCCAGCCGUUGUGCAAAUCAAUGAAAAUAAAACCCAGCCGUAUUACAACACAAAACCCAGCCGUAUUACAACACAACAUGAAAAGCAAUUGCUUAUAUCGGACAAGUUCUCGCAUUAUGUCCACUUUGACUGCAACGAGAACAUAUGUGCUCUUUCCUAGGACGUUUGUUUGCAAGUGCAACUUCUAAAGCAGAUUUCAUCCUAUUUUUUUUAGGUCUUCCCGGUUGUUGACGAAUAAACGGUGGAAAGCACUGUACGUUAGCCACGUUAUCUGGAACAGGUAGCGCUGAGUCAACCGGCAUGACCGAUUCAGCGUAUGCGCUAGCUAAAUAAGUGCUUUUAUAGUAAGGACUGCACAGUGAUAUACGAGAAACAUUUCUUUCCUCUGCAGCUGCGAUUGCGUGUACACAUGGUAUUUUCUCGACAUCGAAACGCCGACAUGUGCACUUUCGCUCAACCAAAUUAACAACAUUCAAAGACUCGCCAGCAGCGCCAUAUUUAACUUCAGUGUGAUGGUCAUCAAUCCUUUGAACCGUCCAAUCCCGGGAGGCACUUACACGUCCCUAUUAACAAAACCCAAUAUUCGUGAAACGGCUUACUUAUUAUUUAUAAAGCUGGCUUAUGCAAUAUAACGACUGACUUAUUAGAUUUAAAGACUGACUUAUUUUACUGUUACGACUGACUUACUUGUAAUAGUUUCUCCACACCGCGCGUGAGUGUGGUUGACUGCGAUCUGGCAUCCACUCUUCGUUCAGCAAACCAUCUGGUCAUCAUAACCCGUAUCGAUUCCAAUAUUCGAACAAUGUUAAGACCUCUAGCAUGCGAUAAUGCUCUGUUCAUUGAUUCCGCUAUGUUCGUAGUCAUCAAAUUGUACCUCUCGCCCGGGAAAUAAACACGUGUCCACAGUCUGACAUCAGCUCUUUCGAGGUAGCCGUGGAGAUCAGGAUUAAGUGCUUCAAUCUCCUCGAAAAUCAUAUCAAAGUCAGACAUUCUAAAACAUCUCGCCGCUUUCUUCACCAGCCGAAAUACAUCUUUUCCUUUGUACCGUCCCAAUAUGUUUUUAUACAAAUGAUAGGUGCAUAUUCCACGAGCAGCUAACGGAUACACAUUUGUAAUUGCUUUCCCUAUCGAGUUAUGCCUAUCUGAUAUUAUCGCAAGACCCUCCUGGUCAGGAAUCAACACUUUUAGUUGCGUAAAAAACCAAUUCCACGAAUCAUCAUUUUCAGUGUCAACCACUGCGAAGGCUAUUGGAAAAAUCUGAAAGUUACCAUCCUGAGCUAGUGCUGUGAGUAGCGUCCCUUUAUAUUUACCAUUAAGAAACGUACCGUCGACGACAACAACUUUGCGCAUGAAAGGAAACCCAUUAACGCUCGCACCAAACGCAAGAAACACAUACAUGAAUCUUCCAAGCUCAUCGAUUUGAAGACGCGUAACUGUAUUCGGAUUUGCCCUUCUUAUCAUGUAUAAGUAAGAAGGCAAGAGUUCAAAACCACACUCAGGUGUGCCCUCAUCGAUUUCCCUUGCACAUUUAAGCGUCCGGUGUGAUUUCCAAUAUUCCAUCUGCUCACAUGAAAAAACAAUUUACAUAACUCAGCCACAUCAUAUCAUUAAGACGGUCACAACGUAAACAUAACUCAACCAUAGUUUUGUAACUCAGCCAUUUCUAACACAAAAUAACCCAGCCUAUACUCUACCAUAACUCAGCCGUUGUAACAUAAUUACCUUUACACCAAACUGCUUAGUGAUAGCUAUUCCGACACUCUCAGGGCGAACGGCCGGACCAACGUCGCCGAGAAAGUUCUUGUACAACUCUCCUAAAAUAUCCGGUGUUGCAUUUCGAGAUCGAUUAGAACGCUCAGUUACAGAACAUGCAUGAUCCGAGUCGUAAAUACGAAUAUAAAACUGCGGGGACAAUCCUUCGGUAGAUGCACGAACUCUCCAUGUACAUCCAUCAACCCAACACUUAACAACGUAUGUUGUCAGGUUUGAUAUUUCUACAUCAAAAUCAAAUUGAUGCCUCACUGUAAAAAGUUUCAGUCGUCUCUUCAAAUGCUUUUUAGUCAAGUAUCGUUGUCCUACCGCAAGGUCUAACGACGACAUCUCCAACUUCAAAACCUCCAGAUUCCCUUUAGAUUCGCUCAUCAAGAAGUUCUGAUAUCUCUUCUUGGAAGGUAGCGUUGGUGAAUCUUCGUCUUCUUCGAUAGGAGACUCACCGUAUGUGCUGAAGUUAUCAUCUUCAGAUGACGCACCGUCCGAGUCAUCGAACAUAUCAAAUCGACUUUCAAAUUCAUCAUCUUCUUCGUUUUCUUUGCCUAUUUCAUCUUCUCCGGCUACGUCGUGUAUUUCAACGUUACUAAAGCAGUCAUUCUCAAUUUCAUCUUGUUCAUCCUCCAAACUGCAACCAUCGUAACUCCCAUUCUCUAUAGACUCAACUUCUAAAGCUUCUUCUUCUAAAGCUUCUUCUUCUGAAGCGUCUUCUUCUGAAGCUUCUUCUUCUGAAGCUUCUUCUUCUGAAGCUUCUUCCUUUUUCUCUGUAAUCUCCACACAGAGACGUAGUUGUUCGCUUUUCUUUAAGCUUAGAAAACAUUGCAAUUGUCGAGUGUUGGACACGUAAACUGGUGGAGUGUUGUGCGCCAUUGUUUUCAAUGUUUUAUUCGAAAACAUGUAGCUAAGCAGAAUAUGAACCUUCAAAUCAUUCAAACCGUAAUCGUCGAUGACAGACUUUGUGAAAUCUUCAAGUUUAGUUUUCUCACCUAAAUGAAGAACUCUACACCCUCUACUGUCGACGUUGAAUACAUAUCGUUUUUUCAUAAUCCAUUUACCGGAAACAAUAAUAACGGGAUCCAUUACCAUAUGAGAAAGAUGAAGAGGAUAGAUAACUGAGAUGAUGAAGAAGAAAAGAAAGGCUGUGUAAUCAUUCAAAAAUAAGAUGAAGAAGACAACUGAAAGGUCUCGUAACUCAGUUGUAAAUUGGGCGACCGUUAGUGAUGACAUGUCAAAUCCGAGUUGAUGACAUGGCAGAUGACAUGGAACAUCGGUUAAUCAGCCGACAAACAAAUCAGUAACUCAGCCAAAAUAAGUCAGCCAUCAUGUUUACACUUUGUCAGCCGAUACAUGGAAACAUUCUAGUAAUUAAUCUUUUGACGGUAAGUCAGCCGCAAUAAGGAUGAACAACCAUAUGUCAGCCGUAUCGUUACGUAAAUCAGCCAUCAAACGAGAACAUUCUAGUAAUUAAUCUUUCGCUCAUACGUCAGCCGCAAAGCAGCUGAGUUUACUGUUUAUCCAUGCUUUAACGGCUGACUAAUACAAACCCAGUCGUAACAGCAUCCCAUAACUCAGCCGUGGCUUCAAUAACCCAGCCCAUCCAUGUUCCUUUACUCAGCUGAAAAAAAGUUUCUCAGCCGUUUCUUAACCACGACUCAGCCAAAUUUUCCAGAAAUCAAACCGCCGAUGUAUAAGUCAGCCGUCAUUUGUAUCAUUAAGUCAGCCGUGGUCACAUAACUCAGCCGGAUUUCUGUAAAUCAGUUGUAUCGGCAAGCUGACUUAUAGUUUUAAGUCAGCCACUUUCACUUAAGUCAGUCGUAUGUAUUAAGUCAGCCGUAACGUAAAGAUAAAUCGGCCGUAACUACGUAUCUAUCGCUUAACAGCUGACUUAAUGAAAAUACGGACGCGAAUUCCUCCGUGGCGCCGGUUUUUUGCCUACGUGGCAGCGAAAAGUAAUGGCAUUCUCGUAAAUACGUUUUUUCUCAUAACGUAAAAAAAGGGUACGCUUGGUAUCGAAAAUAUUCUAGUAAUAAAAAAAAGAUCUGUAUCAUUCUAGUCAAUACACCUAAAAUAUGUAACAUUCUAGUAAACUUCCCUUAAACUUAAGGUAACGUUCACCCGACAGUACGACCCUCUUAUCUAAUUUCUUUGAUUGUAAAUUCCAACAAGAAUUAUUCAAAGAGAAACCAUCUUUUGAUCUCCAGCAUUGAUCCGGAUUCAAGGAUAGUGAUUUCAAAUAUUGGUCAAGAUGCUCCUCCUGUAAAAACAUACAUAAGAUACCAAAAGUUCAAAACACUUCUUGAAUAUAUUUGACUAAAUGAUAGCAAGCAAAAGAGGUUGUAUGGUAAUAUACCGGUAUGGUGCUGCAAGUCCUUCCACGUACUAUUAGCUUCUCUAAAUCAGGUGAGUUUUGUAACAGCCUUUGUAUACCAGGAAUAACAUACUGAUAGAUCACUGUAUCAAGAAUCAGUGAUUUGACCUUGAGCAUCGGGAAAGAAACACCACGAAUCUCAACAAGAGAUAAAAUCUAACAGAAAGAACAAAAAAAGAUUAUGAAUAUUGAUUAGUACCGAGCUUUUGACAUGUAAGACUUUUCAAACGUUCUUAGAACUAUAGAAAAUCAGACUAACAGAAACUAUUUAAUCCAUAUAGAAAAGGUUGACUGUGCAACCAAACUAACUUUUAGGCAUUAGACAAUGCUAUUAUAUGAGCCCAAAAAAGUAUAAAUACCUUAACAAAGUUUCCACCAAAUGUAAGCUUCUCAGCGUUUUGUAACUUUUCUAGCAUUUUUAGCACCAUGUCUUCGAGAAAAUCAGCCUUGGACUUGAAGAAAGAGGUACUUAGGCAUAGCAAACGUCCAGUUUAGCUUCGGUUAAAGAAGCGACAUCAACCAAAGUACAUGAUGGCCGAGAGCCUAACAAUCUGAGAUAAUGGAUGUGUGGUGCCACAAUCUUCGUUGGCCCCUCCGGAACCAUCACGUUACGGUCUACAGCUAGUGUUUUCAGACGUAAAGAUUUGCUGAGAUCAAGAACCUUUAGUUUACCGCAGUGAUACAACGUUAAGUUUUCGAGAACGGGACAACCGGAUAGAAUCCUGGCCAUGGAUUCAUCUGAGAGACUACAACAACUCAAGGAUAACUUGUGCAAAGAAGUCCAAGAGACAGUGCACUUGAAAGGAACAAUCGUAUGAGAAUAGAUGUUGAGUUGCUUGAAAUAAGAACUGUUGUAGAAGAAAUCUGGAAACUUAUAAUCUACUAAUAAUAGGAAUCCUGAUUAAUUCCAAAAGUUGUGGAUCUCACUUAUGUUGAAAAGUUGUGUCUUUUGAAAAAGAUAUGUAAAGGAUUGUGUAUUUUCUAAAAGUUAUAUAUUGUAAGGUUGUGUCUUCUAUAAAAAUUAUUUAAAAGUUGUGUCCUUUCUAAGAGAUGUCAAAAACAUGAUUUCUAACCGGGGCCUCAAGCUCUGGUAGUAAAGGACCCUCAGCUGAGGUAUCCGCCAUCACGAGUUCAAGUCCCAGCCACCGGGGGAUUAAAAUUUGGGCAUCGCCGGCGACACGGAUUAGUCUCUUAGGCCUAGGAAGCCUUUGGGGAAACUGUGUAUAAUUCAAAAAAAAAAAACACGAUUUCAAAAAGUCUAAAUAGUUGUGUCUUUUCAAAAUAAUUACUUUGGAAAAGAUGUGACUAUUUAAAUUGAAGAGUUGUGACUAUUUAAAUAUAUUUUAAAAUUUAUAAAUAGUCUGUGACAUGCAUUUCUCAAUGGUCAAUCAUGGUGAGUCAUUGUUACUUUGUACAAAUCAUAAUAGAUUUGUCAAAACGUCUGACUUCAACGGAAACCACCAUAGGACCAAUGCUUUAGAAAAUGUUAUAUCAUCAGAAGAUGUGAUACGUUCAUUUAUAAUGAAAGAAAAUCAAAGUUAACUAUUGCUAUUAGGAUUUUGAUACGGAAGCUUUGGUAACAAAUUGUCCAAGUUUCCGAAUGGUUUGUGAAAACAUAGGGGUUUACCAUGCUGUUCAAAUAACAUCACCAUUGGCACUCUAUACAUCUGUUACAUUCUAAAUAUGUGUGCUAUGAGAACUAAAAAUUCACUCUUCCCUAGAACUUUUGUUUUUUUUUUACUUAAAAAAAUCAAAUAAUCAACAAAUAAGACUUUAUAACAUGCCUUCAUUCGAAUAAUUAAGAUUUUUUUUCAGAUUUUUCUACCGUAUAAAAUGGUUAAAUCCCAUUUUGGAGACCUACAUUCUACGCAUGAUAGAAAAUUGCAUUGUAUAGAAACGAUAAUUAUGUAAGUACAGAAAUAUUCAUAAACAUUAUAUUUUAGUACACGAACGGAGGAUACACUAAAAUUAAAGAUUGGAUGAUUUUGCUUUGAUAAAAAUCCAUUCAAAUAAAAAUGUAAAAUGAUGCACUAAGAAUUCUACCUAGCAAAUUUUACCAGAUAUAAUGACAUGUUAAUUAAUAUGUUUUGAUCAAAAUUUCUUAUAUACUUGGAACAUACAUGAUGAGAAAUACAAAGAAAAAAUAGCUUUUAAAAAUAGUUAAAGUGUCUUUCUAUAAUAUAAGUGGUUUUUGAAAUAUGUGUAUUUAAAAUUUAAUUUUUAAAAUAGUUAAAAAAGUUACUACCAAGAAAGACAAUAGCGGUUAUAGUACAGGAGGUCAAUGCUUAUACAUACUUCCAUUAAAUUAUUUAACUUAUAGAGAUAUAUUAUGUCAGAUCGAGAAUAAACCCAAAUAUGGAUAAUAAUGUAUGCUAAAUAAAUUGAUUCAGUAAAAAUAAUAUCUUAAGUUAAGCUUCAAAUUUAUGUAACUUUCUUGAUGGUUACGGAGAAGAUUACAUUGAAGGGAAUAGUGAUCAAAUUCAGUUACUUUAAAAUAAACAACAAAGCAACGCGUCUAACCAUGAGACCAGCAGUUGUGUCCCUUAGCAAAUGAUAGCAAUGCUUCGAAAUUAAUUGCAAUAAUGCUUCGGAUAUUAUUUAAGUGAUUAACCAUUCACAUUUUUCGUCUACUCAGAAUUUGAAACAACACAAAAUUACUCUAACAGUUCUAUGAUCCAUGUUAGUAACUCUCCGAAUUGUAUAUAUCAUGCUUUAAUCCAUGUUUUCUCGUCGACAUCUCUCAUAUACUGUGUUAACAUGUCAUAUUUUGUCUGUAUAUUGCGUUUAUGUGUAACCCACUCUAACUCGGCAAAUCCAUAUUCAUAUCUUUAGAUACGUACAUCUCUUCUUAAAGUCAUUCUUCAGUUAUCAUUAAACUGGUUUGUGAAUCAACAAUGGAAUACAAUUUGAUUGUCUUUGGAUGUUUGUGGAUUCAGUUGAUUAUAUUCGAUACUACAAAUCUACAAUAUAGAGUUAUGUCUCACUGAAUAAUUAACUCCAUGUGUUUGGGAUAUAGUAACGUGUUGCAGGGUGUGUUAGGUACAUGGAUUCUGAGCUAAUAGGUGACGCACCAAUCAACAUUUAAUUAAAGGUUUUAUCUUUUGAAAUAUUAACUGAUAGUUAAAUCCAAUUUUUCACUUAAACACAAAACUAUUAAUGCAAAAGCUGUAUUAUCAAUAAAGCCAUAUAACUGUAUGCAAGAUACUUUUGUAAUACAUAUUUUUUUUCGAAAGUAAUUAAUUGUAAACAAGUUUUUUUUUUGUCAUCAACAUAAACAGACUCAUACAGAUUCUGUAAACCAAACCGGGAGCUCUCUAUCCAUAUGAACGACAAAAGACGGUUGUUUCAUGGCACUGCGUGCUAGACUAUUCUUGAGACAUGGAUGAGCUCUGAGCUAAUGAAGCUUUCUUUAAGGGUUUUUAUAUCUUCCAAAUAAACUGCAAAUGCUGGCCAUUCAUCAGGUUCUGAAACCAUAUUCACCAAUUGAGAACAAUCUGUUGCAAAUGUGACUUGAUACUGACGCAAAUUUCUCAUACACUCCAUUGCUCACAGUAAAGCUUCCAUCUCUGCAUGAAGAGGAGAGAGACUAGCCCUAACAUUUCGUGUCCCCAUUAAACCAUCAAAACCUUCUAAAGUACUGUACCAACCCUGGCCUGAGAAGAAGUCAUUUUCUUUCCAGGACCCAUCUGUGAAACACCAUCGUCCCGAGAUCAUCGCAUGGGUUUCUUACCUAGUAAUAAUAAUAAUAACGAGAGAAAUUCAGGGACAGAUUCUCAACGUUGUGUGACGUGGCAAACUUGAUCCACCUGUCUACGUAUGGUAUUUUCUCCUUCGUAAUGGGUGUUAUUAGGGGGUCAAAACUCUUUGUCUUCGGGGCUGUGUAGCGAGCUAGGGUUUCAUUUAUCGAAGCGGCAGUCAGUGUAUCGCCACCUAAGGUGAUAGAAGGUAUCUCGCACCACACAUGUCUCCAUCGUCUAGACAAGAGGGAUGUAGACAUGGCCAGUUUGAUCGGAAUUAAGCAGAGCAUGUGUUGGAGGAUUCCAUCUGGUAAAUUGCUGAUCAAGUCUUCGGCUCCUUUGAUCAUCAUGUCUUCGGUCAUCCUUUUUUCUUUUUUUUUGCGAUGUUAGUCUUAGGUCACAGUUUUAUAUAUAGGAUAUUGUUGAAAGGUUAUAUAAUGGGCUUAGACCCAAAAUAAUAAUGAGCUUUAGUUUGCAUCUGAAAAGAUCAAACCAGAUAACCAAAUUUAACAAGGCCACUAGGGGUGGGCGUUCGGGUACCCGUUCGGGUUCGGAUCAGUAUUUCGGAUUUUCGGGUAUUUCGGUAUAGAAGUAUAGAACCCGUUCGGGUAUUUCUGUACUUCGGGUCGGAUUCGUGUAUUUUUAGUUCGGGUUCGGUUAUUUCGGAUCGGAUUCGGAUAUUUAGAUUUUGAAAUUUUUUAAAAAAAAUUUCAUCUCUCAAAUUUUUUUGUAUUUAAAAAUAUAACUUUCACUUAACUAAUUUUUUAUUUUUAAUACAUUGAAUGGUUAAUAGAUUUGGACAUAACAUUUUGAAACUAAAAAAAGACAUUAAUUUGGUUAUUGUUUUUAAAUUUUGGAUGUAAUUUUUUGUUAAUUCUUGAAAUAAAAAGUUUGACAUGCAUUUUAAGUGAGUAGCAAAUCAUUUUCUCCGUAAUUUUAUGUAUAUAAUAUGAACUUAAAGUAUGUGUAGUAUCAAUAUAAAUAUUUUAUAUAAAAUGAGAGAUGUAAACUAGAAAUAUAUGGUUAAUUAUACAUAUAUUCGGUUAUUUUCGGAUAUCCAUUCGGGUUCAGAUAUUACCUGUUCGGGUUCGGAUAUCCAAUCUCUCCUAAUUCAAUACUCGUUCGGAUAUUUUGGAACUUCGGUUCGGAUUUCAGUUCGGGUUUUUCGGAUCGGGUUCGGGUACGGCUUCGGAUAUCGGGUAAAAUGCCCACCUCUAAAGGCCACUGUAAAAAGCACUUCCACAGCAGCAAAGCCGGUUCUACAUACAAGUGAAACAUUAAUUUAUGAUCAUAUCCCUUGUAUAUUAGUCAUGGAUCAUUAUAACAUAUUUUCGUAGUCACGUGUCACCACGAAGAUGAUUCUUAGAAUUCUUAGAAAAAUAAAUUGAUUCAUAUAAACAUAUACUAUGUUUUUUUAUUAAACUAACUAUCAUUAAUUAGUAGUGUACAAAAAAUAUUUUUUCCUUCCUUAAAUCAAAGUUACAAAAUUACCUAAUAUGGUUGACAUAAAUAUGACAAUUAAUGACUAUGAAUAAUAUAUAUUUAAUAAGAAUUAUUGUAUCAUCUCCCUUUUUUAAUUUUAUAUUAUUAAAACAAAUUAAACAAUCACAUUAAGCAUAUAAUAAAAAAAAUAGAUUUAUUUUCUUACAUGUUAUAUUUGGACUUUUAAAAACAAUUAUAAAUUACUAAAAUGUUAAAAGUCCAGCAUUGAAAAUUUUGUGAUCAAUGGUUUAACUUUUUUUUGUUCAAUCAAGAUACAAAUGAUCAUAUAUCGUAGGAGUGGCUCAUAUCGGGUAUUUAAGAUUUUUGGGUAUUUCAGUAUAAAGGUAUAUAACCCCGCUCGGGUAUUUCUAUACUUUGGGUUCGGGUAUUUUAUGUUCAUCUUCUUCUCUUGGGGCUUCUAGAUAUAUUUCAUAAAAACUUUUAUCAACAAGCUAACUAAAACCUAGCAAUAUUCACAUCUGCUUUUGAUACACUCUAAAGAAGUCGACUUGUAUAUGGCCUGAAAUUUGUGUGACCAAAUCAAAGGCGACUUCUAGUGUGUUUUCGUUAGGGAAAUGUAGAUAUUCAAUAAAGUACACAAGUUAUAUAAAAUAAAAAUAAAUGUUCAAUGACACUCAAAGACUUUAACCCCUAUGAUUCACCACUCCUCUGAUGCCAUAGGCUUGUUGGUGGAGGAGAGCACAAUGGUAACAUUGCUGUUGUGAGGAAGUGUUGGAAUCACGUAUUCAAUUUUAAACGUAAGGUAACGUUCAUCCAGCAGUACGACAAUCUUGUCUAGUUUCUCUGUGUUCUUAAGCACGAGUUCCAUGAAUGAAGUUACAUGCUUUGGUUGUACAUUCAAACGAGACUUAUUCCAAGAGAAACCAUCUUUUGACUUCCAGCAUUGAUCCGGACUCAAGGACUUUAGUUUCAAGUAUUGGUCAAGAUGCUCCCCCUGUAAAACAUUAAUAAGAUACAAAAGACGUUCCUUGGAUAAUAGCUAGAAAAAGAGGUUGAUGAUGAAUUUACCGGCAUCGAGUUGUAAAUCUUUCCACGUACUAUUAGCUUCUCUAAAUCAGGUGAGUUUUGUAACAACCUUUCUAUACCAGGAAUAACAUACUUACAGAUCACAGUAUCAAGAGUCAAUGAUUUGACCUUGAGAAUAGGGAAAGGAACACCACGAAUCUCAGCCAGAGAUAAAAUCUAACAGAAAGAACAAAAAAGAUUAUGAAUAUUGAUUAGUACCGAGCUUUUUACGUAUAAGACUUUUCAAACGUUCUUUGAGCUAUAGAAAAUCAGACUAACAAAAACUAAUUAAUCCAUAUAGAAAAGGUGACCGUGCAACCAACCAACUUUUAGGCAUUAGACAAUGCAAUAAUAUCAGCCCCCCAAAAAAGCGUAAAUACCUUAACAAAGUUUCCACCAAACGUAAGCUUCUCUGCGUUUUGUAACUUCUCUAGAUUUUUUAGCACCAUGACUUGGAGAGGUUCAGCCUUGAACUUGAAGUUAGGGUUACUUAGGGCAUAGCAAAUGUCCAGCUUAGCUUCGGUUAAAGAAGCGACAUCAACCAAAGUACACGAUGACUGCGAGUGCAACAAUCUGAGACAGUGGAUAUGUGGUGCCACAAUCUGCCUUGGACCCUCAGCCCCCAUGUUACGGUGUACUACUAAUGUUCUCAAACGUAGGGAUUUGCUGAGAUCAAGAACCUUUAGUUUAUAGCAGUCAUACAAUGUUAAGUUUUCAAGAACAGGACAACCGGAUAUAAUCUUAGACAUAGAUUCAUCAGAGAGUCUACAGAAUCUCAAGGAUAACUUCUGCAACGAUGUCCAAGACACAGUGCAGUAGGGAACAAUCUUAUGAGAAUAGAUUUUGAGUUGCUUGAAAGAAUCACUACUGUAGAAGAAAUCAGGAAGCUUAAACUCUUCAUAAGAAGAACAUAAAUCCAGGGAAAGAUUCUCAAAGUUGUGUGACAUGGCGAACUUGAUCAACCUGUCGAUGUAUGGUAUGUUCUCCGUUAUGUUUUCUAAAAUGAGAUGAAAACUCUUCGUCAUGGGAGCUGUAUAUCGAGUUAGGGUUUCGUUUACAGAAGCUGCCGUCAGUGUAUCCACAUCUAAGGAGAUAGAAGGUACCUCGCACCAUAAAUGCCUCCAUCGUCUAGACAAGAGGGAAGUACUGAUGGCUACUUUGGUGGUCGGAACAAAGCAGAGUAUGUGUUGGAGGAUCACAUCUGGUAAGUUGUUGAUCCUGUCUACAGCUCCUUUGAUCUUCCUGUCGUCGCCCAUCUAUAUUUGCGACAUAUUCUUAGGGCAAAAGAUUAUAUAUAGGAUAUUAUAUAAUGGGCUUAGGCCCUAAAUUCAAAUUAGAUUUAGUUCACAUUUGAAAAGAUCAAACCAGAUAAAACAAAUUCAUUCCUUAAACGUGUGGGACGUGAGGCCUCUACUACCUACACUCUAAUUCAUCCUCCCAGUAUAUUCAAACUAAAGCAGGUUUCUAAGAAGAUCAAUUUAAGCUAGUGUAGGACCAAAAUGAUCAGGUGUUAUUGUAGCAUAAUUUUUCAUAACAACAUCCACCUUCCCAAUUUUAUAAAUUGGUACCAUAAUAGCUAAAAUGAUCCUUUUAAAAAAAAUUGUAGUACUGACACCAACAUUUCAUCAGAGACUUGCAAUAGAAUAGCAUAUACUAGUGUUGAUUAAAGGAUUGAUGAUCUAAUACAUGAAAAUAUACUUAUAGAUAGAAAAAAAAAGGGGUUUUCUUGAUCAUUAUUCACAUAGAAAGUCGUAUGUUUUGUAGAGAGUAACGAGCAAAUUUUAUUUUAUUUUAUGUUAUUUUUUUUGAGUAACGAGCAAAUAACUUAGCUAUAAAACAUUUAAACAUUCCAUACAUAGAGACACUCUGCUCUAGAGAUUGCUUCAAUCUUAAAGCUUUAAUUUCUUGUCGGGAUUAUUGUCUGUACGGAACACAAACUGAUACGUUUUUUUUUUCUAUUGGGGCUAGGUGUUUCUUUCUCCAGCAUGUGAAUAGGCUUGAGAUAACUCCAGAUAAGCAUCAUCUGGCUGCAGCUUGUAAUCCUCAUAUACGUCUCUUAGACGUCAAUUCCAACAGCCCACAACCUGUAAAGAUUCACCCUUUCUAUUGAUUUACAAUAUGUGUGGUGCUUUUACCUUUUCUUGAAUGGUCUCUGUGAAUACGGAUCAAGUGAUGACGUAUGAUUCACACACCAACAAUGUUAUGGCACGAUUUCUAAAGUUUAUUUGUUUUUUUCUAAAUUUAAAUACGUACAGAGUUCAUGAAUGGAAAAGACACGUCGGAAGAAGUUUAAUUUGAACUUUCUUUCCUGAAAGUAUUUAGGGAAUUCGGUUUGGUUCGAUUAUAUUGGUUUUUGGUUUGGUUUGGAUAAAAAGUUGGAAUCAUCUAGUAUAUGAAAUAGUUUUUUUUUGUUCAUGUUUUCAGUUAAUUCGGGUUAAAAAUUCAGAAAUUUUGAGUUUUUUAAAUAUUAAUUUUUUUUUGAAUUUUCAGAUAAGAAUUUGGAUAAUUUUAAUUAUUUAUGUAAAGAAUUAUUCCGGUAGUCGAGUUUAUAAAUAGUAUUUUAAAAAUAUUUGAUUAUUUUAAAAUUAACUAUAGUUUAUAUUUAUGAAUAUAUAAAUUAUUUAUAGAAAUUUAGACAUCCAUUUGGUUCUUGAUUCGAUUAUGGUUCGAUCUCUGUUUUUUUUUUGUUAUAGGUAUAAGAUUUUCUCAGGUAAUUGAUAAGACCCAAACAUGAUCCAAACUUCGUUUUCAGUUCAGUUUGGUUUGGUGUUUGGACUUCGGAUAAAUAUGUAUAAACUUAAUAGAAACUAAGUCUAACAAAAUGGAAUAUUACCAAAAAAACAAAGGUCCUGAAUAUAAAAAACACUCUCCAUGAUACUCACCAUCCUCUUAUUAACCUCCAGACUCCAGAGAGCACCACAGACUGAGCUCCAUAAUUUUAAUGUCCAAGCAAUGCAAUAAAUUUUUGGGACGUGAGGCCCCUACUACCUGCACUCUAAUCCAUCCUCCCAAAAUAUGCAAACUAAAGCAAGUUUCUAAGAAGAUCAAUUUAAACUAGUGGACCAAAUUGAUCAGGUGGUAUUAUAGCAUAUAUUUUUCAUAACAACAUCCACUCUUUAAAGGGGCUUUCUUAUAUAGAUAAACAUAGAAACAUUAAUGCAUAGCGAAAAUUUAAAGGCGAAUACGAGGGGAAGCUAGAAACGAAUAAACACAGAAACACUAGAGAAAGAGCAUAGACCAUAACUGAAGAAGCUCUACAACAUUCACCUUUCCAGUUUUGUUUUGUUUUUUUGUCGCCCAUUUAAGCUAAGAUCAAGUAGUGGUCAGAGAAGCCGAUUCUAUGGAAAGUUUUUCCGUCUGGUCGGAUCUGAUCUAUAUGGGAAAAAUAUAGCAUUUGGUUCUUGAUUAUUUUGCUAACGCGUCUGUCUGACCAUUUCUACUCCAAGAAAUAUGAGACAUGCUCACAUCUUCGAAAUCCUCAAGUAAUCUCUAGAACACCGUGACUAUCGCGAAUGUUAGCCAAUCCACUGGGUUUGUAGUCAUGUCCACUAGGUCCGAGUAGUCCGUCUCGAAUCGUAUCAAAAUUAUCCUUAUGUCUCUCAUACAUGAGACUGCCCAAAGUAAACCUUUCAUCUCAGCAUGCAAAGCUGAUAGACUAUUGCUUCACGCCCACCUUUCCAGUUUUGUUUAUUGGUCUCAUAAUAGCUGAAAAUAAUCGUUUUAGAAAAACAUUGUAGUUGUUUCCAAAAAAAAAAAAACAUUGUAGUACCAACACCAAUAUUUUAAGAGACUUGGUAGAACAGCCUUACACUAGUGUUAGUAAAAGGAUUGAUUGCUCUAGUUAUCAAAAUUAUAUAUACAAAUAAAAAAUUAGACAAAUUUAUAAAUUGAUACUAAUAUUAGCAUUUAAUUUAAUAAAUUUACAACAAUUAAAACCACUUUAAAAAGUUAUAAACUAAUUUGAACUGUAUAAAAAUUGGAUUUCAAUAAGAAUCGUUUUGGUUAUAGAAGAUAGGCCGUCUAGACGACUUAAACUGAUUUCGGCAAAUACUUAUUAUGUAACAAAGCUAAAAAAAAUGGGCAAUUGUCAAUAAUAGCACCUUUUGAAGUUUAUGUCUCAAAAAUGACACUAGAAGGAGAAAGUCACAAAAAUGACAUUCAUUAAAAAGUAAAAUAUCCCUAAUACCCUUAGAUUAAAAUUAAAUAAACAAACAAAAAUAAAUAAAUUAAAAAUUAAAAAAAUUUUAAAAAAAUAAAUUUUUUUUUAUAGUUUCAGAUUAUAUGUUUUCAGAUUCGAAAUUUUAUAAUUUUUUUUUAUUUUUUUUCGAUUUUUUUUUUAUUUUUUUUCGAAUUUUUUUUUUUCAAAUUCUUUUUAUAAUUUAAAAAUACUUUUUGUUUUUAAAAUUUUUAUCUUUUAUUUUAGUAUUUAUUUUUUAUAAAAUUUUAAACCCUAAUUCCAAAACCCCACCCUUUAACUCUAAACCCUAAGGUUUGGAUUAAUUAACCCAAGGGGUAUAAGUGUAUAUUUACCUCUUUAAUGAAACCUAUUUUUGUGACUUUGAACCUUGAGUGCUACUUUGGGAACAAAAACUUGGUUUAGUGCUAUCUUAGUCUUUUUCUCAAAAAAAAUCUUAGAGUACCAUUAACUCUAGCACCCUAGAUGAGGUGUUUAAUUUUUUUUUUUUUUAAAGUUUUUUGUCUGAUUUUUUUUAAAAAAAUUAAAAACGAACCAAUUACGGACCGUUACGUGUCGGAAUCUGCAAAAUAGUGUAAGCACUGAGAAAACACGGCGCUUAAUUUGGACUCAGGAGCUGCGACGCUUGUUGUAUUUGCGGGACCACAGUUGAUAAGCACCUCCUAAACAAGUGCGAUAAUGAUGCUCUAUAGCUUCCGUAAAGGCCAUUUGGAAGUAUUUGACUUCAGUCCUUAUAUUUAUAAAUAUCACAAUGAGGCCUUACUUAUUUAUACAUGACAAUUUAACCCCACAUAUAUUUUAAAUACUAAAAACACCCCCCAGAUUUAAUUAUGCAAGAUUGAUUAUUCUUAAUUUUCUUCUGCUACUCUCCGGUCAUCUUCGAUCCUCUCAAUCGCGGAACCCUAGUUGUGAGGAUCGAGAAUGAGUCAGCCAUGUGUGGUUCUCGCAACAGCGAGCUACGAUCACACGAUCCGAUUCUGGGAAGCCGAGAGCGGUCGCUGUUACCGCACCAUUCAGUAUCCUGACUCGGUAAGGAGAGACACACUCUUCUCUCUAUAGAUCAUCUUAAAAGCUUUCAACUUUCACAAAACCCUUGUCUUGUUUCUUCAGCAUGUGAAUAGGCUGGAGAUAACCCCAGAUAAGCGUCAUCUGGCAGCAGCUUGUAAUCCUCAUAUACGUCUCUUUGAUGUCAAUUCCAACAGCCCUCAACCUGUAAAGUUUCACCCUUUCUUUUGUUUUACAGUGUGUGUGUGUGUGUGUGUGUGUGUGUGUGUGUGUGGUUUUACUUGAAUGAUCUCUGUGCGAUUGAAUCAGGUGAUGACUUAUGAUUCACACACCAACAAUGUUAUGGCAGUGGGGUUCCAGUGUGAUGGGAAAUGGAUGUAUUCUGGAUCAGAGGAUGGUACUGUUAAAAUCUGGGACUUGAGGUAGUUUUUUUGUAGUGUUGAGUGUCAAUAGAUUAAAUCAUUAAAGUGCAAAUGCUAGGAGAAAAAAUCUUGUAUUGAAGCUACUUCUUAAGUUGAUUUGCAUUUCUUUGCUGACUCGUAAGACCAAAAUGUAGGGCUCCAGGUUGCCAAAGAGAGUAUGAGAGUGUUGCCGCUGUUAACACUGUUGUUUUACACCCAAAUCAGGUAUAUCAGCUGUAAAAGCCAUGUGUCAUCAGUAUACACUUAAGAGAUCUGUUUAUGCUGCGCUUAUCAGAGUUGUGUUUGCUUCUAGGAUAUUUGUCUCAGUUGCAAUGGUCUUUGUUCAUGAACAUUGCGUUUUUUUUUCUACAGACUGAGUUGAUAUCUGGAGACCAAAACGGCAAUAUACGUGUAUGGGAUCUCAGAGCUAAUUCGUGUAGCUGUGAACUGGUAAUUUUCUUGACACAAUUGUUACAUUUAUCUUAGCUUUCACCCAAACAGGAUCUUUAAACGAUUCUGUGUAAUCUCUCUCUCUUGUGGAACUAAUAGGUACCAGAAGUUGAUACACCUGUACGCUCUCUAACGGUUAUGUGGGAUGGGACUAUGGUUGUUGCUGCUAACAACCGUGGAACAUGUUAUGUUUGGCGCUUGUUGCGCGGAAAACAGGUAUGAUAAGUCAUUCAAGUCACAUUCGUAUAGUUGCCAUUGCCAUUUAAAUUGUUGUAUCGUUUUCAGACGAUGACAGAGUUUGAGCCACUUCAUAAGCUGCAAGCUCAUAACGGCCACAUCCUUAAAUGUCUACUCUCUCCCGCAAACAAGUAAUGUGUUUCUUACUCUCUCUCUCUCUCUCCCCAUAUGACACGGUUCCUCCAUCAUCUCCCUUACAUAUUCUGUUAGCAGAUAUCUAGCGACUGCAUCAUCUGAUAAAACUGUCAAAAUAUGGAAUGUUGAUGGUUUCAAACUAGAGAAAGUCUUAACAGGUGAGCUCUCCAUGUUUUCUUAAGAUAAACGUUACUGGUUUCCCCAUUGCUCUCUCUUACACUCUCAUCAACCUUAUCUAACAGGACAUCAAAGAUGGGUAUGGGACUGCGUCUUCUCAGUGGAUGGAGAGUUUCUUGUAACAGGUACUCAUCACUAAUCUCCAUCUUAAAAAUCAACAACUUGUCUUAAAAAAAAGACAGAACAGUCUUUUUAACAGUUUUUUAUUCUGUAAUAUGCACAGCAUCAUCGGACAUGACGGCUAGGUUGUGGUCUAUGCCAGCGGGAAAAGAAGUCAAGGUGUACCAAGGUCAUCACAAAGCCACCGUGUGUUGUGCCCUCCAUGAUUAAAAACAUGAAUUAAUAGUCAAACAAAACUAAAUAAAGAACAGAUAAUCAUUUCUCUCUUUUGUGUGUUUAGGAAACUCUUGUACAUUUGUAUCAGAUUCAUCUCAAGUUU
This 72565-nucleotide long non-coding RNA is filed under the name Brassica napus (rape). RNAcentral's name for it is "long non-coding RNA (BNAP_LNC004594)". Lineage: Eukaryota; Viridiplantae; Streptophyta; Magnoliopsida; Brassicales; Brassicaceae. The record is from RNAcentral.